UGUAUCCGUUGUUCUUGCUUCUCAGCAUCUGUCCAUUCCCCCAAACAAUCUAAACAAUUUCUAAAUGUUAAAGUGGCUUGUGAUGUAGAUGCACCAACAAUGUUGGGCCCGCCCAAUUCACAGAUGUUUUUCCACCAACCCCUUCAUCGGUUGUACUGAUUUGAAGGCCGAUCUUGCCCAACCCAUGCCAUGUCAGCCCUAAUUAAGACCGCAGCGCCAUGCUCCACACCAACUGCUAACGUGGCACCAUUGCCUUCGCACGAUUCAUCUGAAAUAAGCUAGACGGCCGGAUCCAAAGUACUCCUAAAAUUUAUAAGGGGAAUAGGGUUACAUUCCUUCCUUCGUCUCUAUCAUUCUGCAUCAUCCCUGUAGCCGCUGCUCUAUCACCACCGGCCUUUACCCAAUUUCAGUUGCUGAAAUUUCUCCGGUAAGAAGAAGAUUUCCUUUCUCGAUAUCUCUCAAAUAGAUUAUGAUUAGUUUCCUACGUGUUUUCUUCUUCUUUUUAUUUAUUAUUUUUUGAGUCGGAUCUAGAAGGUGCUCUAUUUUUUUUUUGUGCUUUUGCUUUUCUUUUCUGAUUCAAUGUGAUUUCCCGUUGUUUGGACGAUAGCUUGCAAUGCUAUCUGGCUAGGGUUUUCUAGAUCUGUUGGUUGGGAUGUAAGUGCGGUUUUGAUAAAUUUUUUUCUCGAUCCGUUGCGAUUAAGUUUGGAUUUUUUUUACUGACCCUUUUUUUAUUCGUUUGGGCGAUAAAUUUUGUCUACGAUUUUACGUUCUCGGAAACAUUAUACAGAAUAAUGUUUUUUUUUUUUUUGGUUUCAGGUCCUACUGCAAUGCUGAUCAUCAGUGAGUUACCUUCCUAUCAUACAGAAUAAUAAUAUAAUAAUAUACAGAAUAUCAACAAGAGCUUUUUUUUAAAAUUUUUUUUUUUGGGAUUUUGGUGCCGGGGGGUGUGGGGUUUAUGAUCCUCCCGUGGAAAUGUUUCUAAUCUUGGUUAGUUUGUGACUGCAGGGAAUGAAACUCUAUUCAUAGCGAGCAUUGGUUCUGCCUAUGUCUUGGUCCAGCUUGGAUUCAUGGCUUUUGAGAAGUGGUCUGGGCGAGAUAAACGGUCCAGGUUGGAGGGCCUGUACGAUGGGACUAGCAAAGGGAAAAGGGAUUAGCUGUUUGUCUAGGUUGCUAAUGGGGCGAUGAAUUGAGUUUGACAUUCUGAUACUAGUAGUGAAAGUGCUGGCAUAGAUAUAUGUAACCUCUGAGAAGUUAUCUUGAAAAUUCUUUUGAUGUCUUCAUUAUGAGAAGUUAUCUUGAAAAUUCUUUUGAUGUCUUCAUUAUGAGAAGUUAUCUUGAAAAUUCUUUUGAUGCGGCAAUAGAAAAUUUGGGCAGAAACCCAGCAAGGCGACAGGAGGCCAAGAACUUGGGCCUGCAAAAAUUUUACCAACGCUGCUUACAACGAGCAUGGCAUUGACCAUAGAAUCCCAAUAAGGAAUAGUACUUUAAUUAGUUGCUACAGCUGUUUUAUUCCUUAAAAAAAAAUCUCGUGGCUCUGUUUUAAUACAUUAAGCUAUUACAGUAGUGUGAUAUCAAGAUUAGGUAAGUUCAGCCGUCAGCUGUCACCAAAACUUGGAAACUGGAUUUUCUGUCUAAAGUCUAAACUAUGUACUCCAGUAUUAAACAAAUACUAGUAGUUCUUCAUUAUGUGACACCGCCGGGUAAUGUAUCUAAUCGAGGGAUUUUCUUUUUCACUUUUAACCAAAAUCUUACAUUGAGUGCAAUUCAAAAUUUUUGUGGUAGUAGAACUAUCAAACUUUGGAGUGAAUUUGAAGGGCCAUACCAGGAUUUUAUAUAUAUGUACUGAGACGUUUUUUUUGGCAAUCUGCCAAGAAAAAGGCGGGACAGCACAACAAUGUACAGAACCAGCACCACCAGGCUUCCUACCUACCAUGAAUGUCUCCAACCGGAGAGGUUGGAAUUGUACAUUUGCAUGCGGGUCACAUGCAACAUCACAUUUGAUUAAAGGAUCCCUUUAUUGGCCUAGCUCGUGAGGACUUAAAUGCGAUUAAUUAUCUUUAAUGCAACUUGAAAAUAUAAUACUGGUGAAACGUUCAUCAUAUGAUGAUUAUGCUCUCAUUGCAUCGCAAAAGAAUCCUCCUGUACAGUAGGAGCUACUGCUAGAUUUAUAUACUAGUAUUUAACCAAUUCUUAGUUGGUAGCCUAUUAAGAUUUUAACUUUAACUUCUUCCAUCAUCUCGGCUCUGUUUAUUUGAAUAGGUCACGGUGCUCUAGUCAAUCUUAUGACCCGGUUGCAAUUUUCUGUGCCCUUAUUUUCGAGGUACACACCAAAGAACACUGGUGCAGCAAAGAAAUUAGAUUGGAUAAUUAGAUAGUUUCAUUGUGCCAGACUCAUAAUACUUAUUCGAAUGUACCUAGUUCUUAAUGCAUUACCAUAUGUUCAAUCUAUUUUAAAAUGUACUAGAGGAAAAAAGUUAAAUUGAUAAUUUUAGAUAUAUAUAUAUAUCAGCUCUUCUUUUAAGAGAACAAAUACUACAUACUCCCUCCGUCCCACUUUGAUAGUCUUGUUUUCCUUUUUCGUCUGUCCCAAAUUGUAGUCUACUUUCCCAUUAAAAAAUGUAGUAAUCUUUCAAAUUGUCUAAAAUACCCUCAUUAAAUAUUUUGUUAUUAAUACAUUGUUAUUAAAUACUAACCCACUACAUUGAAUACAUUGAGUUUUUCCAAUACUAACCCAUUAGCUGUAACUGAUAUUAAUUGGCACUCUUCGUGAUUAGCAUAAGGGUAUUUUAGGAAAUUAUUAAUCUAAAUUUAUGUUUCCAACCAAAUUAAUUACACUUUCUUAAUCUGUGUGGAAAAAAAAAUCAAGACUAACAAAACGGGACGGAUGGAGUAUUAUUUCUUUUUUCCUUUUGGUUCUUUUUAUCGAAUUCAGUGCACUCACAAUGCUCACUUUAUUUUGUAUUCUGGAGAUGUUGAAAACAUGAAAUGCGCUCAAUCUUGAACUCCCCGAUUCUAGAGCUCUGUCAAACAUGUUUUCGAGAACAAAGAUGCUUGAAAACCACAUAUUUUGUACUGUUAAACUAAAAGUAAGGAGGAGGACUCAAUCCUUUGUGGCUCUAGGAUUAUAUGUUCAUGUACUUGCAAACGUGUAGUAGUAACUAAUGACCAUGGAAGUCAAGUCACAGGAUCUCUACUCAUUGUGUACAGACCUUAGAUGGAUACAACGUACAAUGAUGGAGGACUGCAAUUAAAGGGAAGUGGCGCUGAGAAUUGAGUCUUACGAAAAAAAAAAAGAGCGAAUUGUGCGAAAUGUCACUAAACUAUUUCAAAAUGCCGGUUCUGGUCACUAAACUUUUUUAUUAGCGCGAAAUGUCACUGAACUAGUAAAUCUAUACCGUUUUGGUCACUCCGUGUAUUUAUGCCGUUAGCAGAGACGGAAAUCAACUUUUUGAGGGGCAAAUUUGUCUGCACAACCUUUUCCUUGAAGCUUUUACAUAAUCCAUGGUUCCGUAUCCGGCAAAGACAUAAAGGAGAUGGCUGAUCUGAAUGGCGGCACCAUCAAACUUCAACCAAAAAAUGCAGGCACUAUUUUUCAAUUGGAAAUUGGUCUUUGACUCUCUGCCUCUUUUAGUUACCCACUACCCAGUCUUGAUUUCUGUAUUCUUUCACCAUUUGUAACAAAACCACAGAGCACCAGCUCCAAACGGUAAAAAUUGGAAAUUGGGAAUGAGAAAAUCUCCUUUUUUUCCUCAAGAUUUCAAAGAUUAGGCAAUGAGAAAAUCUCCCAUCUCAGAGAAGUUUCAUCCACGUAUGCUCUCAGCUUUGGAUUAUCGGAAUCCAAGUGUAUACUCUCAGCUUUGGACGUCCACGUGUCACGAAAUUAACCCAAGGGCUUGUCCUGAUUCAAUUGCCCUCGGGGCUGAUACUUAAUCCUAAAACCAUGCGCUCUCGGCCACAAUUUAGAUUUGCAACUCUUGCGUUGCCUCACCUGAGCUGACGCUAAUUUGGCACUAAUUUGGGGAGUGGGAGCGUGGGAGGAAAUUUUAUUUGAAAAUGGUGGCAGGCAUCAAUUUGACCUCGCCGAAGUCCACUUUAUUGCCAAAUCAUUCAUCUUCAGGAGAAUCAAACACUACUGCUUUCCUUGGUGGGUCACCUUUAAAUGGCUUAUCUUUUCAAUUAAAACCCAAAGUAAUCAAGAAUGUCAAUUUGAUAGUUGCUUCCGGAAAAGCCAUCAGCAGCACGAGUGGUAGCAGUGGCGGAAGGUUCUACUUCAAUAUCACUGGGUUUCCUUUCCCUCUUGGUCCUUUCCUGAAUAGGCGGACAAUCAGAACUGAGGUUAGUAAUUUGCGCCCUCGUUUUUUCAGUCCUGGCUCUUGACCUUUCUGCAUCAGAGCAAUAAUCCUGUCUAGUUGAAUUUCUGCUUUGCUGCCGUUUUUCUUGUGGGUUAGUUUCAUGAGUCCUGUGCAUAUACUGUCCAUCGAUCAUCCAAUGAAAGGUUAGUUUCGUGCUCUUGACCGAUAAAGGGUAAGUAAUGAUAAAUAAUGUAAGGAAAGGUAAGUAAUGAUAAAGGGUGUUCUUUGUUACAAAUGGUGAAAGAGGGAGGAGGAGGAAGAAGAAAGAAAAAGGGAAAGGAAGGAGAGUGGAGGUGGAGGUGAUGGCGGUGGGUGGCAAUGUAGGUGAUGAAUGGUUGUGGGUGAAGAAGAAUGAGGGCAUAAAUUUUUUAACUAUUGUGUAGACGAAAUUACCCCUUAAAAAGUGAUUUCCGUCUCUCCUAACGGCACAAAUACACGGAGUGACCAAAACGGUAUAGAUUUACUAGUUCAGUGACAUUUCGCGCUAAUAAAAAAGUUUAGUGACCAGAACCGGCACUUUGAAAUAGUUUAGUGACAUUUCGCGCAAUUCGCUCAAAAAGAAAAAAGGAAGAAAGAAGAAGACAUAUAUAUACCCUUUGUUGUAGGGCAAUAUUUGAUUCUUAUACUGUGUGAGCUUUCUUGCUGAUGGACUCAAAUGACUGCUUAGGUAGUCCACCAAGAAAAUUUGUGUGAAAGACAUAUUAUCCUCUCCAUAAAUUCACCUUUAUAGCUGCCUACUGAGUAGUAAGUACUGAUCCACUUUCAAAACCAAAUUGUGCCCCGCAAAGCAAGCCCUUUUUUUCCUUAACCGCUCCACCCUAGUAGUUAUCUCCUUAAAUGCUAGUAAAUUACGUACAUAGAACUUUGAAUAAGCACUCUUACAUUUCUCAUUAUUGUUUUACUCUUCAGUUCCCAGGUCAGUUAUCACCGGAUUCAUCUUUUGCGUCAAUCGGAACUGAUUCAGAUAUCAAAUCCCAUUUGGUAACAGAAAUAUGCAACAUAUCAGACCGUGCUGUCACCUGCGCUCAUCAGCAUCAUUUCCGUUCCACUAAUCCCCCUUUCGUUGAUUGGUAUCUGGUCCUCAAUGUAUGUUUCAUUCCAUCUUUUUUCUGUUGCAAGUGUUUUCUCAAGCUGUUUUUGAACCAACGAUGGCUUGUGAUGUAGAUGCACCAACAAUGUUGGGCCCAAUUCACAGAUGUUUAUCCACCAACCCCUUCAUCGGCUGUACUGAUUUGAAGGCCGAUCUUGCCCAACCCAUACCAUUUCAGCUCGAACAAAGACCGCAGCUCCAUGAUCCACACCCACUGCUAACGUGGCACCUUUGCAUCCACACGACUCAUCCGAAAUAAGCUAGACGGUCGGAUCCAAAGUACUCCUAAAAUUUAUAAGGGGAAUGCGGUUACUUUCUUUCCUUCGUCUCUAUCGUUCUGCAUGAUCCCUACAGCCGCUGCUCUAUCACCACCGGCCUUUACCCAAUUUCAGUUGCUGAAAUUUCUCCGGUAAGAAGAAGAUUUCCUUCCUCGAUCUCUCUCAAAUAGAUUAUGAUCAGUUUCCUACGUGUUUUCUUCUUCUUUUUAUUUUUUAUUUUUUUGAGUCGGAUCUAGAAGGUGCUCUACCUUUUUUUUGUGCUUUUGCUUUUGCUUUUCUGAUUCAACGUGAUUUCCCGUUGUUUGGACGGUAGCUUGCAAUGCUAUCUGGCUAGGGUUUUCUAAAUCUGUUGGUUGGGAUGUAAGUGCGGUUUUGAUAAAGUUUUUUGUAGAUCCGUUGCGAUUUAAGUUUGGAUUUGUUUUACUGACCGUUAUUUUUAUUCGUUUGGGCGAUAAAUUUUGUCUACGAUUUUACGUUCUCGGAAACAUUAUACAGAAUAAUGUUUUUUUUUUUUUCGGUUUCAAGUCCUAUUGCAAUGGCGAUCAGUGAGUUACCGUCCUAUCAUACAGAAUAAUAAUAUAUAUAGAAUAUUGACAAGAGCUUUUUAUUUUUUUUAUGAUCCUCCCGUAGAAAUGUUUCUAAUCUUGGUUAGUUUGUGACUGCAGAUAAUGAAACUCUAUUCAUAGCCAGCGUUGGUUCUGCCUAUGUCAUGGUCAAGCUUUGAUUCAUGGCUUUUAAGAAGCGGUCUGGGCGAGAUAAAUGGUACAGGUUGGACGGCCAGUACGAUGGGACUAGCAAAUAGGCCUGUUAACGGGUCGGGUCCGGAUCGGAAUUGAUAAAUUCGAACCCAAACCUGUCACACUGUAUUAAUUUCGGAUCCGAUCCAAAUACUCGACAGAUCUCUUAAUCUGUCUCCCGGAACCGCACCCGCCGGGUCCCGGGUCCGGGUCCGGUAAGAUUCCAAUUCAGGCAGAAUAUUUCACUAAAAAUGUUAGGCAGCUGGCCAGAUUAUUUAACUUCAAUCAUCAUUAAAUCUUAGCUAAGGCUUGGGAGAAAGAAACAGCAUUUUGCUUCCUCAAGCAUUCAAAAGUAGGAUACAAGUUCGUUUAAUGUUUGCAAACUGAGGCAUACGGCCAAUGCCAAUUUAUGUGAAGGAAGUAAAUUUACUCUGAGAGGUUUAAGAAGUGAACUACAAAGAAAGCGGGUUUCACGGCGGACUGGCGGAGGCAGCAAAACAGAAACUGCUAGAAGCCUAGAAGAGCUGGGCUUCUUUGGAGCUGCAACCAUCAGCGUAGGCGUCAGAAAUGGAUUUGGCUUCGCCUGUUCCACGGCGGACUGGCGGAGGGCGGAGGCACAGCAAAAGAGAAAAGAGAGUGAGAGGGAGAUGUGCGGCUGGGGCAUUAGGGUUCGAAAAAUUGGGGAAAUGAAAGAAGGUGUAUGUCUUUUGGUGAUUUUUGAUAGAUAGAUUGGUAUAUUUUUCUAAUUAUUAAUUAAUUAAAACGGGUCGGGUCUAAUACGGGUUGGAAUGAUAUAUCCCGUAUUCGAUCCGCUUUUCUGUUAGAUAAAAUGGGUUCGGGUCCGGAUCGCGAUUCUAUAUAUUUAUCCAUACCCGAAAAAUAUUGACGGGUCCGAUUCGGGUCCGGGUCCAGACCCGAACCGUUGACAGCCCUGCUAGCAAAGGGAAAAGGGUUUAGCUGUUUGUCUAAGUUGCUAAUGGGGCGAUGAACUGAGUUUGACAUUCUGAUACUAGUAGUGUUAAUAAAACAGAUGUGAAUAUUUCAAUUUACAAUAAAAUAAAUAUAAAUAAUAAAAAUGUUAAUAAGUUGUGAAAAAAAUAACUCGUUCAAUCCGUUCAAUUGUCAGAUAUAAUCUAAUCUAAUCACCAAUUGCAACAUAUGAAACCAAUGGACGGUAAGUGUUUAUGUUUAGUUACAUCAUAACAUUGGGCAGAUGUAAGUGGUUAGACUUUCACACAUGGAAUAAAUAAAAAGGUAAAGAAAAUUUUGGGUAAAUCAUUUGGUCAAGGGGAAGAACCGAAAAACAACUCCAUUCCUGGUUCACGAUAAAGUCUACAUCCACUUCCUGCUUUCGCAAUUGAUCUUGUUUUAUCCUUGUCCCCCCACCCCACUCCUCUCUCGAGAAGUCAUUGGAGCAAAAUCAUAGCUGACCAACUAUUCAGUUCUCCAUUAGUAAUAUUCUUUCUCAACUGGGCAGAUGAGUCAUGCUUGUCGUUUCUUUCAUUUAUUUUUAUUUUUAUUUUUUUGUUGAAAUUUUUUUUUGGCUUCGGAACUUCUAAUGAGGGGUGGGUACUUUUUUUUUUUUUUGUCGACACGAUAGAAUUUCUAUAACCUAAACUAGUCUAUUCUAGGAGGGAAGGGGAGGGGACUCGAUGUGAGUAGAAAUUCCAUCGAAACUGGUCAACGAAGAUCGUCACAUAUUGUGACAAUUUUUGUGGGAGGUAAGGUUCGAAUUCUUGACCUCCCAUACCACCAAAUCUAAGAAGGUUUGGAUGACCACCGGACCAAAGGCCCAAUGACAACGAGGGGUGGGUACGCCCGCCAUAUUUUAUUGGAAAUUUUGGUAUGUCAUGCUCGACCGUUGCAGAAAAUAAAUCAUAUCCAUCAUUCAACCUUCCAUUCGCAUUCUCAUCAGCCUCCAUCAAUUCUUGACAAAGUUUGAUUUUGACUGUUCAUAGAUCCAUGGAGAUGGAAGAGGCACAAGAGUCCACUAGUUUCAGAGUACUGAUGUUCCCAUGGUUAGCUCAUGGACACAUCUCUCUCUUCUUGCAACUCUCCAAAAAACUGACCCAAAAGAAUUUCCAAAUAUACUUCUGUUCUACGGCCAUCAACCUCAGUUUUAUCAAGAAAAACUUAGGUGAAAGCUCAUCUGAUGAUUGUCAGAUGACCUUCCUCCAUGCUAUCACACAACAACGAAACUACCACCCCAUCUCAUGCCAACCCUCAUGCGUUCUUUUCAAAGUGCAAAGGAAAGCUUUAGCAGCAUCGUCACAGCUUUGAAACCUGAUUUGGUUAUUUAUGAUAGUUUCCAAUCAUGGGCCUCUACACUGGCUGCAAUCCAUAGCAUUCCUUCAGUUCAUUUUUCGACUUCAGGGGCAGCUACGAUGUCUUUCUUUUAUCAUCAGCUUAGUUCAAGAAGGGAUAGUGGUAUUUUUCCUUUUUCUGAAAUUUUUCAGAGGGAUUACGAAAGAGAUAAAUUCGAUUCCUUAGUUGAAUCCAAUAGGGGGGUUGCAGAGGAUUUUGCUUUCAGAAGCUUUGAGCUAUCUUCUGAGAUCGUUUUGAUGAAAAGCUGCGUAGGAGUUGAGGAGAAGUAUCUUGAUUACUUGUCUUUCUUGUGUGGGAAGAAGAUGGUAACUACAGGUCCACUCAUUCAAGAAUCACACCACAACUAUGAGAAUGAUGAUGAUGUGGGUACCAUCGAAUUUCUGAAUAAAAAAGAACAAUCUUCGGUGGUUUUUGUUUCUUUUGGGAGUGAAUAUUUUUUGUCCACAGAAGAAAGGGAAGAAAUAGCAUACGGGCUGGAGCUCAGUAAUUUAAGUUUUAUCUGGGUAGUUAGAUUUGCUGAGGGGAACACAAUUAGCAUUGAGGAAGCAUUGCCAGAAGGAUUUCUUGAGAGGGUGAAAGAAAGAGGGAUGGUUGUGGAUAAAUGGGCACCUCAGGCUAAAAUUCUUGAGCAUUCAAGCACAUGUGGAUUUGUGAGUCAUUGUGGAUGGAGUUCUAUAAUGGAAAGUUUGUACUAUGGUGUUCCAGUGAUUGCGAUGCCUAUGCAUCUUGAUCAGCCUACUAAUGCUAGACUUUUGGUGGAAAUUGGUGUAGGAAUGGAGGUUCUGAGGGGUGACAAUGGGCAGAUAAGGAAAGAAGAGGUUGCUAGAGUUAUAAAAUUGGUGGUUUUAGAGAAAAAUGGGGAAGAAAUAAGGGGAAAGGCUAGAGAAUUGGGCAAGAAGUUGAGAGCAAAAGGUGAAGCAGAGCUGGAUGAAGCUUUGGAGGAGCUUAGGAAUCUAUGCAGCAAGCACAAUCAGCAGAGAAGCCGAAGGCCCUCAUGACAAUUUUUUCCAUAUAUAUGUUUGGCCCUACUUAUAUAUCUCUAUUGUUAGAAUAAUUUAUACCAAGCUAAUUAGAAUUCAAAAAUUAAUUGGUGUUUUAGUUGUAUUACUAGUUGGGACGGCCUGCGCAAUAUUUCCCAUGUUAAGUUUCACAAGUUUUAGUUAUUGUAUAUUUGUUGUAGUAUAGAGAAUUAUAUAGGUGGUAUAAGUUUGGCUUGAAUUAUAAAAUAAUAGUGCGGUAAAUUGGUUGGGUGAAUAUAGUGUUAAUAGUUUGUGAAGUAUGAAGGAUAUUUUGUAAUAUAAUGGUUAAUAAAGUACUAUAAUUGAGACAAUGCAGUGUCAACAUUUUGUGUGGUAUGAUUUGUAUAAAUUAUGUGGUUUGGGUGAGGUAAUUAUAAAGAUACCUAUUUAUAUUUAUGUAUAUCUCUAUUACUCACUAAGUUCCAUAAAUAUGGGCCUUUUUUUUUUGCACAAAUUAAAACAUUUAAUCAAUAUAAUCACAAGAAUUGUUUUUCUUUCAUAUUUUUGUAUAAUGUCGCUCACUAAUAUUAGAUCAUUAAUCCACAUUAAGAGCCAUGUAUUAUUACAUUGUUUUUGAAAUUUACAGUACUUUAAUUUUUUUAAUGUAAGAAACAAUGUAAUUAAUGUUGCAUGUUUGACUAAAAGAAUAAUAAAAAAAUAGCAUACAACAUUGCUUUUCAAUUUAGAGUAAUUUAGAGCCAUUAGGAAAAAUAAAUAUAUACACAUCAAAUUUAGAGCCAUUAGGAAACAUUUUAUAAUAAUUAUAUAUAUACAUUAAAUAUGGAUAUCUAUUUAACAAUAUAAAAGUGAGAGUUGCCCUAUAAACAGUGUUUUUUUUGUCGAGCGGUUAUCCUGCAAUUGUUAUUAGAUAUCCAAGCUAUUAGUAAAUAACAAACUAAUUUUUCUUUUUUAUAGAAUGAAAGGAAUAAGAAUAAAAACAAGGGCAUUAAAAAUUUGUAAUAAUUAUAUAGAGUAAAUAUGGAUAUAUAGACUAAUAUAUCUUUAUAAUUGUAUAUUUUAAAAAGUAGUAGGAUUAGAAACCAUUUUUAGUCCAAACCCUUAACACCUUAACUGAUUUUGGUUAUUUGUGAUAAUAAUGUUGGACUUGUCUCUCGCUUUUUUUUUUCUUUUUCUGUUGUUCAAUUUUUAGGAAUCGUGCAGUCAAAAACUACUCUUGAACAUGCUAAAUAACCACUGCAUUCAACAAUUUUACAGAGCACUAUUUUAUUUCAUUUUUUUGCAAUAUAUGCAUUCAUUUUUUUCCAAACAAUUUUUAUUUCAUGUCGCAGUAAUAAAAUCCAUUUUUUAAAGUCAUUAAAGCCAAAAAUAAUUUAUUAAUUAUUUCCUCAAUAAUUGUGUAUUUACAGAACACUCAACAUUAAUUAGAUUGUUUCUUACAUUAAAAAAAUUAAAGUACUGUAAAUUUCAAAAACAAUGUCUUAAUGUUGAUUAAUGAUCUAAUAUUAUUGAGCGGCAUUUUACAAAAAUAUGAAAGAAAAAUAAUUGUUGUGAUUAUAUUGAUUAAAUGUUUUAAUCUGUGCAAAAAAAAAAAGAAGGAAAAACCAACAAAUACACAGAUUAUCAAGAAUAAGAAACAAAUAGAAAUACGUGAAACCUCAUAAUAAAAUUAGAAAAAAUAUAUUAAUCCAACUUGAUUAUCAAUUUUUAUUUUUAGCCCAGAUUAUUUGUAUGAUUCUUGAGCUUUAUUUGACUGAAUUAGAGAAAAUCUAUACAAGUUCAGAAGCUUAACUGCUGCGUCCCUUUAUUGCUCUUUGUACAGAUACAUAGAAAGUUAUGCCUUUUGCCUUUCUUUUUUUUCGUUAUUAUGCUUUGGUUUUCAGCUCAGAUUUCAUCACCGUAGCAUUUGACCAGAACGAUGACUGGAGGCUUCUCAAUGACCAAAAGACCAAAACGCCCCUCAAAGUCACAAAAAUAGCAGCAUAACCGCUUGACCAAAAUUCACUAUUCAUUUUCCAACUCUCUCUUUUAUUAUAUAGAUAUAUUAAUGUCAAGUUUGUGCUUGGUUUGAUUGUUAAAGUUGUACGAGAAUUGGUUUUAUAGUUAUUUAGAAAAUUGUCUACGUGGAACUGAUAAUAAAGUUCAUUUAGGAUUUAAUUAGUCUGGUGUCCUAUUUAAUGGUCCUGUGGCUGGUUUGUGUUAAUUGAGCAAAGCUAUCGGAUAGUAUUAUUGUGAGAAUGAAUCAUUAUUUUGCUCCAAGCCUUCUUCUUCGUUUCUUUUAUCCUUUGUUCAUCCGUUUGAUUGACAUUAUAAGUUUGUUUCUUAAUUUAUCAAUUAUUGAUCAUUUGAUUAGAGAUAUUAUAUUUACUUUCACUGAAUGAUUAUUUUGUGCUAACAUCUGUCGAGAUCUUGAUUGGAUGAUAUUAUUAUCUAAGGGACUUUGACCUAGAAAGAUGGGAAAAAAUUCAAAUGAAGAAAACUUCAAAAGCUCAAAAUAAAAAUGUAGUAUGAAACUUGAGGGCCUGCGCCUGCGGUCUGAUUUACGUUGUUCAUCGGAACCGUCAACUACUGAACACUGAUUUGCUACAUUCUUUCCAUAGUGAUCUUCGGCAUGUACAACAACAAUUCUUUUUGGAUUCAUGAAAAUCUUAAAGAGGCUGGAUUUGAAGUGGGAUUGCAAUAUUGCAUCCACAUUUCUAUUUCGCCAUUACGUAAUUAAGGAUCAGAGAUGUUAGGCCCUUGAUACGUCUAACAUCAUUGGAUUUAUUUACCCACUCUCAACUUUGUAUCUUGUAGAUUUAUGCUUAAUCAGGAAUCAUGAUGCAAGAGCAGGUUGGAAUGUGUAUUUGUGCCUAUCUUAUUUUAGUUGGUUUUGGCUCUUAUCAUCUUUACGAGUCACAAGCAAUAUUCUACCUUAAUACUAUGUCCACAAGAAUUCUACCUUAAUAAUAACUCCUGCAAUCUAUGUCCACAAGAAUUUUAUCUUAAUGCUACUAGAACUCAUGCACCCUUUGCCUCGACCUUCAAGUCUGCAGGGUUUCCAUGGUUAGCUCUUGGCCACAUCUUCCCAUUCUGCGAACUCUCCAAACAACUCUCAAAUAGAAGAAAAUUCAAAGUACACUUCUGUUCUACAGCCAUCAAUCUGAGUUUCAUGAAGAAAAAAUUUUGCUGAAGAGAUGUCUGCUCCAGCUCAUCAAAUAGAAUUUUAGUGGAACUUCAUCUGCCAGAAUUGCCUGAACUUCCUCCGCACUAUCACACAACAAAAAAACCUACCAUCCCAUCUCGCAUCAAUCCUCAUGGGUUCUUUUCAAAAUGCGAAGCCCAGCUUCAGGAAACCCUCAACUGUUUGAACCCUGAUUUGCUAAUAUAUGACAUGACAGCUUCCAAACAUGGGCGCCAAAACUGGCUGCUAUAAAUAAUAUCCCUUGUCUUCACUGUGUAACUUCUGGGGCUGCAUCCUUGUCCUUAUACUAUCAUCUGCACGCUUAUGGAAUCAACACUGAUACUUCUCCAUUUUAGGCACUUUCUCUGACGGACUAUGAAAGAAAGAAAAUGAAAGCCGUGGUUGAAUACAAUAGAGAUGCUGAGGAAGUAGUUGCAUGAUGUUUUGAACUGUCUUCUGAGUUUUUUAUGAUCAAAAGUAGCAGAGAAGUUGAUGAGAAAUAUCUUGAUUACCUGUCUAUCUUUUGUGGGAAAAAUAUGGUAACCAUAGGUCCACUUAUUCAAGAAUCAAAGCUCAGUACUGAGGAUAAUGAUCAUGUGGGUAUCAUCAAAUUCCUGAACAAGAAAGAUCAAUCUUCUGUAGCUGUUGUCUCUUUUGGGAUUGAGUGUUUCUUCUCUAGUGAAGAAAGGGAAGAAAUAGCAUAUGGGCUAGACCUCAGCAAUGUUAACUUUAUCUGGGCUCACAGAUUUCCUGCAGGGAAUGAAAUUUGUCGUAUUGAAGGAGUAUUGCCUGGGGAUUUGCUGAAGGGGUGAAAGAAAGAGGGAUUUUGUGGAUGGACGGGCACCUCAGGCUAAAACUUCUUGAGCAUAAUUGAUAAGGAAUGGAUUGUAGACUCUUGCAAGUUACACCUUAUGGCAUGCUAGGCUUUUUGUCAAACCAUUAGUGAUUUUGGGCCUCGGCCUAUUUUCCACAACCCAUUAAUUUUCUUAUCAAACAAAAAUUAAAAAAAUCACUCUCUCCUUUUUUUUUUUAAAUAAAUUUUAAGUUGUAUAUGAUAUUAACUCAUGCAAUUUGGUAAAACCUAAAUUAAGUGCUACAAAUAUAUAUAUUUUUUAUUCUCAGUGUGCCUGUGCUGAUGUAUAGUUCAGUGGAAAAAAAAAAAAACAAAUUUCGUUGCCCAACUGCAGUUUGCAUUCUGUUAAGAGAUUUUAAGGCUUAUUUUUGUACCAUAAGCAACCAUGACAAGCCUCAAUCAACCACUCCUCCAUUACAUAUUAGAACCGUAUUCCACAUAUGGGUCCUAAUUAAAUUGUCAGUGAUGUGCAUCAGAUAUGAAUAAAGAAAACUUGCAUUGUCUUCUUUUAUGUGUUUACGUACCUUACUCCAUGUGAUGAACUGAUGAUGAUGGGAUCUAACUUAACUCGUCCCUUCAUUUCUUUUUUAAGGUCAAUUUCAUUCAUGCCAUUCAAAUUGUGUCCAUGUUUCAAUCAAGCCUAAUAAGAUAACCUCUUAAUUUGUUAUCUCAAAAAAACCUGUUAAUUUGUUAUCUCAAGCCCUCUUUAAAAAAAAAAAAUUUUCCCCUGAAUGAUGAUAUAUGGACAUUUUACCUUCCAAUUGGAAGUUUUAGUCAAGGACGCCUUAAGCUUGAUAAAAGAAGAAAGAAAACCUACUUGUUAAAGGGGAGGCUUGGCUUCAAAGAUUACCCAUUACAAUAUUUCAGAGCAAGUGACAAAUGACAACUUAACAAGAAAAAUGCCACUAAAUUGGAAUAUAUAUUUUCUUCUAUAUAUAUAUAUAUAUAUUAAAGUUGCGAAUGAGUCGAGUAGAGUCGAACCGAGCCUUGACUUAGUUUUAUAAAAUUCAUACUCGAAUUUGAGAUCGAGUUUAAAAAUAAAAAUUAAUUAUUUUAUUUUUAAAAAAUAAAUAAAAUAAUAUUUUUUAAUAAAUAAUAAAAUAUUAGGGAUAUAUUAUGUAAUUUUACUAUUAAAAUAAAAAAUAUAUACUUUAGCUCAUGAUUAAAAUAAAAUAAAAUAAAAAAAAAAUAUAUAUAUAUAUACUAGAACUCGCGAAUCUAACAAAUUUAAUAUUUUUAAAAUCGAGUUCAAUUUAGCCAGCUUGAAUUCAAUGUUAAUCGAAAUCGAAUCGAAUAUUGACCGGCGAGCGGUUGGAUUUGUUUACUGCCCUAAUAUAUACAUAGCUAAGAGAGAAACAUGUGGUGUAUGUGGUUUGUCGUAAAAGUCGCAAGUCCCGAGUGCAUGGAAACGACCGCAUUUUUUGCUUUGUUGCUUCAAGGCUCCCACACUUUCAAUUCCUCGAAGUCCAUGAUACACACCUAUUGGGCAUUGGCUUUCUUGACUAAAGCGAUGCAACUUUAGUCUUUAUACAAAGCCAUCCCCUUGGCUCCCUCCCAUAAACUAGUACUACUACUAUUUGCUUUGCUGUGGACCUUAGUGAAUAAUUAAACAAAAAAUAUUUAAAUUUCAAAACGCGGCUCCCAUCUGAAGGUGUUUAAUUAGAUGUCAUGAUUCUUGACGACUGAGGAGGCAAAAUAUAUAUUUGAUGAUGCAACCACUACGAGAUUUUGGUUAAUUAAUUUGGUCCCCCAAAAGAAUCUCUAUGACCAUUAGUAGCCAACAGAUGGAGACCACGUAUUCGCCAAUGCCCUCUUUCCUAUUCUUUUGUUAUUACAAGGGUUAAUCACAUUUUAUCCCCUUAAAGAAUAUCCUAUCUUUCAGUUUACCCCCUAACCUUUAAUUUUGCUCACUUAACCCCCUUUAGGACAAAAUUGCCCUUGUAUUAUUUUGACUUUUCAUUUACCUUGUUUUCCUUUCUUUUAUUUCAUUUAUUUCUUUCUUCUUUAUUUAAUUCUUUCUCUUUCCCACAAAAAUCUUCACCUUAACGAUUGAAAUUAAAAAAGAAAAAUUGCAGAUAUUUAUCUUCUCCUUAAAUGAUUAAAAAAAAUAUUCAAAUCACUUUUCUAAAUAUACAAUUUUUUUAGUCUUUCAAUUCUUUUAAUUUUGGGUUUUCCUCUUUCCUUUCUAGUUUCUCAUUUUAUUCUUAAAAAAAUAUCAUAAUAACAAAAGAAUCUCUAUGACCAUUAUUAGCCAACAGAUGGAGACCUCGUAUUCGCCAAUGCCCUCUUUCCUAUUCUUUUGUUAUUAUAACGAAACCUCACUACUUACACUCUAUAACAAAUGCUGCUUGGCAAAAUUUUUAACUAAGUAGUUUUUUACUAUCUUCCAAUGGUAAAUCUGUAAUUGAAUAAGCAUUUCCUUGAAAAGCAGCUAGCACUAGACAAGAUGAACUGCAAUUUUUUUUGAGGGAAUUGCCCGGCUGCUUAUGAGAAUUGAGAAUGAUGUGAUAAAUCAAGAAAUGGAAUAUCAAUGGCAAAAGGGACAGCACUUAGUGAAAUUGAAUGCAGUAGGACAUUGCAUGGAACCUAGAAAGAAAGUCUCUUAUCUCUUUCCUAGGGUGGUUUUGUUUAGAGUGGGAGCAGCAGGCAAAAAUCCUGACGGAUUGAAAAAAAUUGGGACCAAUAUAUUUUACUUUUAACUCAAACAUUAAAGUUAUUGGUUUUUUCUUUUUUUAACUCCUGUUUUGUGGUCAAAAACUCAAAUCUAAAGUUUACUGUUAACUUUUUGGCUCAUUGGCAUACAAUGAAAGUACAAAAAAAAAAAAAAAAAAAAAAAAACACUUCGGCUCCUCUAUUGAAUACAUGAUUUAAGAAGUUGGGUUACAUUUAUUAUACAACUGUGGUUAAUGCAAAAUUAGUUUCAAGUUCCACAAUGAUCAGUAAUUAACCCAAAAAAAAAAAAAAAAAGUUUUUCCAAAUCUGCGAUCAAGACGUAGGAAACUCUUCUGCAUGUUCCUGGAAGUGGAGUACGAAACCCCACUAUAAUUUUGUAUUGCUCUUCGUAUCAUGGCCUAAAAUAAUAGUACCAUAAUUUUAAAUACAUUGUUACUAUGUAUAUAUAUAUAUAUAUAUUUUUAAUCAUUUUUUAUCUCAUAUAUAUAUAUAUAUAUAUAUAUAUUAAAUCUCCAUAACAUAUUUUUCUACAAAAUAAAAAAAAAAAAAACCAUCCAAACAAGCUGAUAGUUGUCACAAGGAAUGCUAGUGCCCGCCCCGCGGUCGGUUAUUCUUGCAAUGAAACGAGGCAGACCAAUCCAAACCAGAACCCUUUUUCAACUUCCAUAGCUCAGGUGUAAAAGAAAAAAAUUAUUCAAACAAAGCGCGUCCAUGAGACUACUAUACAUUUUAAGGCCAUUCCAGCCUACUCGUCUCACUCAUUUAGCCGUCUAAAAGAAAGACAAACAAACAUCAUAAAGCCAAGCAAGAAAAAGGAAAAGCAAACACAUCCCCCCCACAACCACAGCUCCGCAAGAGUAAGAAGAAAGACUUCAAGAUAUCAGAAAACCAAACCACAUUCUUGAAACCGGAAGGAAACCAGCUAAGAUCUCUCCAUUGAAGAUCAAAAAAAUGAUUGAAGAUCGCGGCCGCGGCCCUCCGCAUGGUAUUCUGUUGGCGGCGGUGGUGGUGGUGGUGCUAGCAGUCCCUAUGCUUGUAGGAGAUCAAGGUGAAGCUAUCACCGAGUUCAUAGCCGAUCUUCUGAGCCCAGUUGGACUUUUACUCCUCCCCAUCAUCCUCCUCCUCACCAUCCAGUUCCUCUCUUCAGAAAGUGGCUCCUUCAUUUCUAGCAUCUUUUCUACUGGAGAGCCUAACACCAUCCACCGGGUUAGUGGUUCUCCGGUAGGCGUUGCUCUCUUUCUUGUACUCAUACUGUUCCUUCUCUACAACCGCGUUUCCAUCUUUGGAGGUGAUGAUGAUUCAGGAGAAUGAACAAUCAGCUGGGAGGGGCUUGUCCGUGCUUCAACUAGAUCAAGUGAUUUACUACUACUUAUUAGUAUUUUAAUCUGCUACUGCUAUGCUUUCUUGCUUACGUUUGUUCUUUUUUUUUUUUAAUCUUUCAUUAAUUUUUGUCUGGUAACUGGUAAGGGUAUACGUAAACAGUACUACUGUAUGGACGGACGUAGAGAAAACUUUGCUGUAUGAAAAUUGAGGCUUGCACAUUGCGAUAUACCGCGAGCUGCGGAUAUUGUUAUUAUUAUUGCCAAUUUAUGUCCAUUUGUACUGCAUUGUGAAUAUGGCCGGUAUCAAUGUGACAAAAUCACUCUUGCUUAAUCCAUUGUUGUUUUUAAGAUUUUAUCAAUCGUACAGGAAGGAGGUAUAUUAUUAUUAUUAUUAUUACUAUGGGCCGGCAUAGACCCGACGAUUGGCUGUCGGCAAUUCCGGCCGGUGGCCGGUGUUCAUAUUGCUCUCUUCAAUUGGCUGUCUUCUUCACUUCUACAACGCAUUAAUUUAGGUUUUUUGCACGUUGAUUUUGACUUCUAUUUUUAUGUGGUUUUCGAAGAAUUGUGGUGCAAAGUCAGAAGAAGUGGGAUGACUCUGCAGUUACUGACAAAUGGAAAUUUAGAUAUUUUUCAUAUUACCAAACAAAACAAUAUGACUCUGCAAAGUAGAAAAGUUUCUUCAUGCCUUCUUCACAUGCCCUUUCUUUUUUUUUUUUUUUUUUGGUCACAACGAUAACAGUUAUAUAACAUUCACAUGCACAAUUUACACACUUUCCGGCCAUUUUGACAUCCCUAUAAACGAAUAGCUAGUUUGGGAGUUUAGGAUAGAAAAGAAACCUUAAGUUGUGAAAGAAAAGAAAGGAUGUGAAAAAAAGAAGAAAAAAAUUUGAUGUUGUUUGAUAACUUAAAGAAAAAAUGGAAAGAUUUUGGAUAUAUAUUUAUAUAUUAAAAAUUUGUUCAAUAACCAUUUAAGGACACAAUUGAUAUUUAAAUAAAAAAAUUUUAGCCACUCUUCCACUUUCCGUCCAAAUCAGGCCAAAACGGGCAGAAAUUUUUUCUCUACUGUAGCCUACAAAUGGAUCGACCAUAUCGGCCCAUUUCCCUUCUUUUUUUUUUGGCAUAAAAAAUCUCCCAAUCUGUCACUCUCUUUUCUUUUGUGGCCAAAUCCUUCCUCCCAAACGCACUAUAAGUCAGACUGGGACCAAUUCGGGGAUGCGCACAACAACUAUUAGUAGUAUUACCUGUGGUUGCAAAGUGUUUGGAAGACGUCAACAAUUCAACAACCGUGAAGGUUAAAACGAAUGCAGCUGCCUCGUAAUUGUGAGACUAUUAGAGAAGUGUAAAAGAACAGAACUUGAAUGGCUGAUAUUUGUGUUAGAGAAACAAAAGCUUCACAUACAUACAUGGUGCCCUGUUGGGGAGAGGCUAAUUAUUAGUUCAUUCAUAGUACAUCUAGCAGUCCCCCCAAUAAUUUCUUCCUUGCUACGAAACAAUUUCCAUGGACCAUUUACUAAUUUCUGUCUGCUGGGGCCUUCAUUGCCCGCAUGAGCAUGAAGAAUGAUUAAAGCGAGUACCAACAUAUACUGCCAGGAGUAAAACAAACUAGGAGUACGCUUGUCAGCCGGCACAUGCAUGUGGGGAUAUCUUCUGCUUUUACGUUUGGGAAUGGAGGUGUAAAACUAAUCCCCACAAGAGUACUGAGCUAGAGUCAGAAUGGCCAGUAAACUUGAAAUAAACGCAGGUGGGGUGGGGGGGGGGUGGCGGAGGAUAACUAAGUCAAACUGUACAAUCAAUGACCCACACACUGGGGUCUUAUGCAGAGCCAAGAACCAGUAAUCAUAAGUAUCAAGCAGCAUCUGCUAAGGCGUUUACAUAUAACCUGUACGAAAGAUGAUUCUUAUGCCAUACACAAACCACAAGAAACUCAAAAGCCUGGAUGGACGCCUGAAGGGAACUUGGAGCAUAAAUGGUGAGUUUUCAGCUGUGAUGAUAGUCAAAGGAUACGAGACCCAGACCACCGCGAAGGAAGGCAAAGAAAUUCAUGACUAUAGAGACAAGCAUAUCAUGAAUUACCUAGAACACAACGAAUUGCAUAACCAGGAAGCUCUGCUGCCGAUAUCAUUUUAUUAUAAAGUGAACUACGGGUUUGCUACAACUGUCACUCCAUCCAGUAUAGUUUUUCACUAUGCAAUAAUGCAGGUAAUUUCUAAACAAAUUAUUUAUACAACUGAUAAGAAUAGCACUACUAGGUGACCUGGACGCACGAAACCAUCUUCUGCAGUUUUGAGAUCAAACAGUGAUGGAGCAAUGGAUCAACUACCCCACCAACUAUAUCUUGGUCCGUCAAACAAAUGUCAUGCAAUAUCACGCCAUCUACUCCAAGCUGAAAUCAGCGCAACAAAGAAGCAAAGCCGAGUUAGAUUCCCAGCUGGAAAUUCGACAGCCUUCAACGGCCAACAAGAAUCUGCAUGUCAAGUUGUACAGGAACCUUAACAUGCAAAAUCACCAUGAGUCUAUAUAAUUUCUUACUGAUUAACAAAGUAUGAGAUUACAUAAAUCACAGGCAAUAGCACAAAACUUAGAGAACCAUCAUAUGAUGAAAAGCAGCAAAGGGCAAGUAGUCAACAAUUCAACACUAAAUGAGAUUUAAUUGAACGCAUGUCAAAGGUAUGUUUCUAGUGGAAUUGAAAAGGUAUAAAUAAAGUCAAAUGGACUGACAUCAAUAUUUUUCAAAGCCAUCAAUAUCCCUAUGUGCCAACCUAACCUAAACUUUUGAAAGGAAUGUCAUGACAAGCCUGAAAAUGGAAUUCCAUGACAGAUGCAUCUCUAAACUGGAGAUACGUUUUACAGAUAUGGGAAAGUUCUGUUCACCUAUUACUUCCUAUAUUUGGCAGGGAUGAACCAGCAAUCAUUCAGUGGGCCUAUAUGUAUACAACACGAAAACUGCUUUGCACAAAAGAGAGAGAGGGGCGGUGGGGAGAAGGGGGGGUAGGGACAGCUAAAAGAAUGAAAAAGAAGGAAAACAAGGAUACACAAAAAAAGGGAAAUAGUAUUUGACAGUAAAAAGAUAUAAUGAUUUACACCUCCUCAAUGUAGAAAUUGAUGUUUAUACACUAAAUUAUCUCUCAAGGAUGGGAACUUGGCAGUACAGAGAAAAACAUGAGACCACAUAGGAUAUCAAUAAUGUUUACUAGACAAGGCAAUCAUCCAUAUUAUUACUCACAAAAUUGCAGUACGAAUACAGUAAGUCAAAAAACUAGUUGAGAAUUACGACAUAGUAGACAAGAGAUUAACGAAACUUCCAUCUAAAACUGACUCUCACUGUACAACAAACAGAAGGGUCUAUACUGCAUUUCAUCACCGCUGCAUAUUUCAUUACAUAUUGAGAAGUACAGCACAUUACUCCAACUUCAAGAAGCACAUCACUGCCUAAAAGACGGAGCUCAAUAUGGUAAGUGUUAAAUCUUUCUUUGUGUGAUUGUAAUGGUAAAUUAAAUUAUUCAAGGAUGAAAUAAAACCAUGCAGAAGCUAAAUCUACCAGUACCCUCAAAGUUGAGUAUGAUAGUGACAGCUCGCAAAUCCUAACUUCAUUAGUUUCCUUAAAGAGAAAAUCUAAUUUCCAAACAGGCAACACUAAUAAGCUUCAUUCAGAAGCUUCAAUGCUCAUUCAUUUAUACAAAUCAAAUACUAUUUAUCAAAUAAUAAGAGGGGAAACACAGAAUCUAAUCCCAUUAGCAACAGCAAUUAAUAUUGUAUCCCUACAAAGUCCUUUUUUAUUAAAAAUGCAAUGAAGAACUGCACAGCAAAAGUAACAACUGGCUAAAUCAAACAUAAAGAAUGUGUCUCUUAUAAAAUAGAAGAAAUUUACCAAUUUUCAGGCAACUCCAAACUCUUGUAGCCUGUCACAGUGAGGAGUUGGAUAGUUUCUGUUCCAUUGACGCCUCUGGAGUUCUAUAUGGCAAUAGCGGCCAAGCAUAUUUUUGUAAUCCCUAAUCACACUAACUUCAAUGUUUUCUCGUCCAGGACUGCCCAUUGGAUAUUUAUGAUCAAACUCCGAUGACCUAACAAAAUACUCUACUCCAUGUUUUUCUGUUUCCUUUCUGAACUGAUAGGUGUAGUUCUUUUGUAAAGAAUACUCAGGUUCCGAAAAUGGAAGAUACGCGAGCAAUAUGAUUAGCAAAAAUGGCAGCAACUGAAGUAGCAGCAUGAGAUUAGGCCCAUUUCCACCUAAAUCUCCUCUUUGCUGACCGCCUGCGCUUCUGGUUCGGUAAACAUGAGCUGUCCUGAACAUGUCAUUCUGACCAAAAAAGGCCCUAAAAAUCUCAUCUGGAUCAAAAUCAUCUUCAUAAAUGCCAUACCCAGUUGUUCUUCUCCGCCGUCUCACAUUAUACUGCUGAUUAUGCUCAAAUUCCUCAACCAAACCAGUUUCAUCAUACUGUCUCCUCGAGUCAUCCUCACUCAAACACUUAAACGCCUUGCUAACCUUCUUAAAUGCAUCCUCUGAACCUGGAGCCUUAUUCUUAUCAGGAUGAACCUUCAAUGACAGUUUCUUGUAUGCCUUCUUAAUCUCCUCAACCGAACAAUUCUUCUCCACACCAAGAACUGCAUAAUAGUCCUUCUUACUCUUUAUCUUCUUAACCAAUUGGACAUGCUCUUCCGUAUAAGUCCUCUCCCCGUUUGAAACCGCAUCAACCUUAACCCCACCCUCCUCAUUUCUCACAUGAUUGCUGCUCGACACAGUACUUGAAGGACUAGCAGACGACGAAUCAAGAUCCUCACAAGCAGCCAACAGGUCGUCCACCGAUAAAGAGUGAUUUAAUCGCUGCGCAAUCUUGAUAAAUUUUAGGGCCCUUUGCUUAUUCCCUGACGCAAUUGCCUCGUUGGCAAUGCCAAUGCACCUUAAAGCCUCAUCUUUAUUCCCAUCCAUUAUGACCUUGAAAAACCCACUUCAAAAUUCAACAAUUUAACUCAAGAUACGGCCAUUAAAUUCAACCCCAAUGUUCUCUCCUUUUCUUCUGAUCCAAAACCUAACUAUCCAAGAGCUAAUUUUGACCCCUUCACAGAAAAAUCAGGAUCUUAUGGUAAGUAAGACAUCAAAUUAACCUGAUCAACGAAAUUUUUGAAAAAAAAAAAUCAAAAGAAUUCCCAUUUACUAAAGCAGGUACAACUCCUACAUGUUCAUGAUAAAGGGUAAAGGGUAGAUAAAACUAGGGCGGCUUUCAAAAGUCACGAAUGAAACUUUGAUAAUGAACAUGUAAUAUGGAUUAUACAAUAAAGUAAAUAAAAGAAAAGAAGUGAAGUUACUCACUUUGCACAGAGGAAAUCGCGAGUUUUUAAGGCCGACCCAGAGGAAAAUUGGGGAAGAUGGGGCUCUUGAGAGGGGGAAGUUUUGAUCUUUGUGUCAAAAAAUAUAUAUAAAUAGAAAAGGUAAGUGGUGAAAGCAGCCAGUUUUUCUUGACUGAUAGUGUAUUUGUUAGAUACCAAAUUUUUUUUUAAUAAUAUUUUUUUAAAAUCAUAAACACAUUUUUUUAAUUUGUUUUUUUAUAUUUUUAAUUAUAUUUUUAGUAUACAUGUGUCACAUCACAAAAGUGUUAUAAUAACUAUUUUAAAUAAUAUACUAUCCAAACAAAUCAUUUCCUAAUUUUUUUUGAGUUUAUUUUCUAAUUUAAAACGGUUUGUUAGUAAUGGUAACAUUUUCAUUUUUCCUGUUUAUUGGUGCCCGAGGAAAAAGAGGCAAUAAAAAUUACUUGCUAGAUUAAACAACAUUUGUUUGGAGCAGGGGAAUGAUCAAGGAAGGAAAGAGACGGGGAGAGGUUUCCCUACAUUAUGAAAAUGUCCCCGACCAAUUCUCUUUUGCACCUCAUAAAACUUUUUAUUAUUCACACUAUUUUUUAUAGUUAGCAAAUAUAUAAUACUUGGAAACAUACCUCUUUGAAAGAUUUCAUUCUUUCGCCUCGGACAAAACUGUUUCUCCUUUUCCUUAGGAGCUUCCACUUCCACACCUACAUUCAUCCAAAAAUUUGAAGACUUAUGGCAGUAACCAUUUUGGAGAAUGUAAAAGUUGUUCUAUUAUACUUGCUUAUUUCCCAUCUUCGUUUCUUGUUUUUGGUUGACACCUUGCGUCAAGCAUGGCAUGGAAGUGCUUGUGCAAUGCCAUCAUUUUCCCUUUGCUUCUUAAAGGUCUACUUGUUAAAUGUGUGAACGAGUGUCCUGAUUAAGGCCAUGUGCGUUCUUUCUGAAAAGGUAGUUAUAGAUCCGAAUAUACUCCUUAACCCUAAAUAGAACACAAGGACAGUAGUUUUCCAUUCAUGGUUGCUGUGUCAAAAUUUUAGAACCAUCAAACAUGAGGGUGAAACGUCAAUAAUGGUAGUUUGGUGUGGGAAUAUUGUCAGGUGUCCCUCAAAAAUAUUGAAAGGUGACAGAACUUGUGCACUUCAAGACCAUCUCGAGCCACCUACACAGAUGAUGAUGAUGAUUGAUGAUGCAUUGUUCCAUCUCAGAACAAAGAAACUAUAUCAGAAAGAUACAAAAAUUGCAUGAAACAGAUCUGACUUGCAAUACUUUGAUAGCAAAUCAGUUCUCUUCGUCAGAGUCAAAAGAUUGUCUUCGUCGUAAAGAUUCUAUUAAAUCUGAUGACUUCUCUCCUCGAGUAACAGCAUUGGUGCGAGACUUGAGCUUAGGCACGCUCAUAGCACUGAGUGGUGGUGUUGAUGCACCCUGGUUAACUUGCUUGAGCACGGCCUGAGCCCUGGUUGCAGCUACUGCACUUGCCAUGGCUGAAGACACCUUUGAAUGGCUAUGUAGAGGCUCUUGUGAGGGACCAGAUCUUGCUAUCCUAGGAUCACCGGGCGAUUGAUAGGUUUCUGAUCUCUGUCUCGUUGCAAUAGCUUCAGCGGCUGCUGACUUGGCCUUCACCGUUUCAUAUUUUUCCAUGUCAUAAGUAAGCUCCUUCUGAAGCUGCUUAUCAGCUACCAAAAUCUCAUCAAUCUCAUUCUUGUAGUCCUUGAGAAGGACCCGGAGGCAUUCCAUAAGGGUACCAAUCAGAGGACUAUUUUUACUCUCCAGUAACCGUUUCAACUCUAUGAAAAUGGGGACAGUAUUUUGAAUUAGGCCUUUUUUAACGGCUUGUGUAAUAGCUCUUCCCUUAGCAACAGCUGCUGAUCCUCCGCCCUCACCUCCAUCUUCUUCCAGCUCCGCUGAGUCAGAUGAUGAUGCACGGAUGGAUGGAAUUCGGAUCUCCUUGCUGCAUAGAAUUUGAAAUGCAUCCUAUCCCCCAAUAGUGCAAAUUCAGGUGAAGGACGAGUUUCAAAAAUAUGUGAAGAAAACAAAGAAGUUAACCAACACAACAGUGCUUUUCUAAGUUCAGGCAGCUUUGGGAAUUGAUGACUUAAGGUAUGGAAAGCAGAAAGGUAAACCAAAAGAAAACUUUAAUUAAUGGUGUGGGUACAGUUGAAAAAAUGGUCUAAUUCAAAUAACCUAGCUUCAAAAACAGCAUAUCCGAAAUACACGUAGAGAGCAGUUUAGAGAAAUCAUUACCUGCAAAACUGACUGUCCAGUAAUAUCCUCAAGAUUCAGCAUACCAUCAGAUGCAGCAGCAAGAAUUUCUGCACAAACCUUUGCAAAGGUGGCUAGAAGGUGUUCUGGAGCCAUUUGCUUUAGCAAAGUGACAUAAACAUACAUCCUUUUAGACCUUGAUUGGUCGUCAUUACCUCUUGAAAAUAGAGAUUCCCUGGUUAUUUAAUGUUUACAGAUUUACUCUCCAAGUCUCAAAGGAUUAAAGCAUCCUUACCGUAUACAAAACACCUGGUUUUCACUUUUUGAGUUCUGGGGAUUACUUCGUCCGGUGUGGGCAUUGCAGUCAUUAAGAACAAAAAUGGCUUCUACAAAGCUAUUGUAAGCUAGAAGUGGUGCCUUAACUGCAGAAACACAAGAAAUGAAAGUCAGACUCCAUUGAUGAUAUGUUGCAGUAAGCAUCAACAAAUUAUAAAGCCGGUCUAACCUUUCAAAAUGUUUCCGAAGAGGAAACCAGCUAAUUGCCUUAUUUUAUCUGAUUCAUCAACAAGGGAUAACAGAAACCGAAGGAAAAGCACUCCUCGCCACUUCACAUAAUCCCUCUGAACAUGAUAAGAAGUCAAACAACAAAAUCCAAAAGGUGAGAAAAAGGGAAAAAGGAAGAGAAGCAUAAUGGCCGGAAUGCAGUAUAUGUUCCCAGUUGAUCUUGAGAAACGAAAGAUCACCUGUAAUAGCCUGGCAAGCAGGACAAACGUUUGCCUUCUAACUAGUUCACAUGGGUCACGUAGACACUUGGUAAUUGUUGUCAUGUAACUGUUGGUGUGAAAAUCAUAUGGAGCACAUUGAUUAAAUUUUCAGAAAAUCAGUUCUUAUUCAUGUGGAAAUGGACUUGGAUAUAAGUACUAAACCUCACCAGUCAACCAAUGCAGUAUGUCGUACACAGAAAUCUGCCAUCAUCACAACUAUAUUAUUGCGAAGAGCUGCACAAUCACUCUUUUCAAGCUCCUAAGCCAUAAUAAGCAUUAAGAGUAAGGUGGUUGCAGAGAAUAUACCAGUACUAGUCAAAGAAUUGUUAAUGUAGAAAAUCACAAGAAGGUAGAAGUAAGCUAGUCCUGUUAAAACUCUUUCGGAAUAAUGAUCAGGACUGCAAACAAAGGAAUAAGAGCAAAGUCAUAUCCUCUCACUUUUACUUUUGGAAUCUUUGAAAAGCUGUACUCGAUGUGAACAAAGUGUGAUGUUCCCAAAUUAGUGAAGAUAAAAAAGCUAUCGUCACCUAAUGGGUUUAUGACACAUCCAUUCAGUCACAGCAUUGUCUUUAAAUCUAGAAGAAACUUCUAUUCACUUAGUUUCUCUUUGCAUUGAGGAUUUAAGGCUUCUAAGGAAACAGUAAAAGGAUUAAAUCCACGAGAAAACCAUACCUGCACAAAAAGAGGAAUAUAGCUCUUAGCCAGUUUUCCAUCAGCAAGACAGAUCUUGCCCAUUGUUAGCCAUGCUUGAAUGUACAAAGAAGGUGCUACCUCCUUUACAGAAAAUGCAGGCCCCACUGAUAUCUUAGAUUUUGUAUCAGAAUUUCCAGAGGUGAUAAUGGUAUGUAAAACUGCAACUAUUGCCUUUAAAUCAGCUGAAGGACAAAUGAUUACUAAAGAACCAAUCGUAUAAACUGCAGUAAUUGCCUGUAACAAUAAUUUACUCAUGGAUGCUGUUACUGCUUUUCCAUGCCUAGUGCCACCACUAUGUGGUGUAAGAAAGGUGUUUUUGUUUUUAUUAGAAUCCUGUGAGAUAUACAUGUCUAGUACAUGGGAGGCUUUAGAAAGAAGUUGAUGCACCCAUUUUAUGACAAGGGAAUCUGCCUCCUCUGGGUUUAAGGCCUUACGCUUGCAAAGAGUUCUGAGUGCCUUUACAUGAGCAUUAACCUGUCAAAGUUUGAAAGCUGCUUAGACAUGUGCCAAAGAUGUCAUACAGCAACCGGAGAAUAAAGAACAUGCAACUCAUUGUUUUCCAAGCCAAGGCAGGUAAGGGAUAAAAAUAAGCAUAUGAACCACAUUUAUGCAGCUUUCUGGCCUUCCAUACAUACUCUUUUUGACAGUGAAUGAAACCUAAUUGACUGAAAAUGCUCAUGCUUUAUUGUAGUGAAACUAUCAAGAAGAUUAUCGAUAAAUAUCAAAAGUCUUCUUUGGAUGUGCCGUUUAAUUAACCAAGUAAAAUCUCAUGUCUUUUACAACUCUUGAGGCCAUUCAACAGAAAAAUUUAGGACAGGAAAUGCAUUUUAAAGAAUAGAAGACAAUACUGAUGGAAUUCAUAGAACAAAAUACAGUAGUGUUUGAUAGAUACCUCAGUUGAAUGCAUGUUGAACUCCUCAAGUCGCUUGAGAAAGUUAUGAGCUAGAUCAGCAGCAGGUUCAGGAGGCAGCUUCACAGAAACAUUAGAGAUUGUUUGCAAGAGGAAGACACGGUCCCCUGCCCAAGCAACCGAAUUAGGUUCUAUGUCCAUUUCCUCAUUGCCAUCUCUUUUUUCGUGUGGGCUCCUAAGCUCACCAGCAGGUUCAUACUUGUCCACGAGCUGCCAAUGAUGAUGGAGGAAUUCCCACUCCACCUCCUUUGGAAGGAAUGCUGACACCUCUGAUAACAGAAGCCAGGCACCUGGAGGUGCUGUCCACUUCUCGAUUGGCAUAGAAUGACUCAACCACAGGGAUUCAGAUGCCCUUAUGAUAUUCUGGAGGGCUGUAGCAAUCUUGGGUUUGAGCCUUUUUUUCUUUCCUAAGCUUGUACAGAUCUUCUUCACCCAAGAAGUCACCUCUGCAUCACAAGUCUCUUUUAGUAUACACAAAACUCCCUCAGGACAUAACAACUCAAUUUCUCUAUCCAAAAUCCUUGACUUUCCAUUUGACUUAUCCGUGAAAGAAUGAUGAUGGGAUGUGGUAUCUGAUGGAACCUUAGAUACUCGAUCAAGAACAAGUUCUGAAAACAGGCUCUCACAUUCUUCUUGGAUGCUAGAUUCAUUGUCAGCUAUUAAAGGUGGAACAGAAUGUAGCCACUCUUUAGUUACGUUUGUAUCACAGAAUAAUCUAAAGGCCUACACAGCAAUACACAUGUCAAGAUAUGAUUGAGGAAUUACAAAUCCAGCUAAUUCAAUGUGCAGUAAAGAAAAUGCAUCUGAAACUAUUAUAGCAUCCAAGGAAGAAAAGGAUUAAUACAGCCAAUAACAACUUGGGAGAAAAGAGUGGCAGAAUAGUUUGCUUUGUGCGAGGCAUGCAGUACCAAUGGUUGCAAAAUGCUUUACCCUGGGGCUUUAUCUUUUAUCAUAUCUCAUUGGAAGGGAAAUCUAAAGAAUAAAUCACAAAAAGGUGCUUUAGGAACUGCAAAAUCAUGCACGUGAAUAUGGAUAACUGAAAAGGCAUUUCAGGCAUGUUAAUCUGACAAAUUGUAUUUGCAAAUCUAGGUUACAGAGCAAAGUAUGCAAUUGGAUUCUUCCUAGACAACAACUUUAGAUAAGCAAAACAAAUAAAAUAAAGAUCAAUAAAAUAUAUUUUCAGGGUAAGCUAAUGAACCUCUGAAAGAGCUGAUAUUGCUGCUUUCCGUAUACUAACAAGGGGGUCAGAACAAGCCAUGCCCACGAUCUUCAGCAAUUCUCCAUCAAGAGCACCUCUUAAAAGUACUGUUAACUUGGAGAUCAGAAAAAGAGCCGCCUUCCUGACUGCAGCCUUCUCAUCCAUACACCGUUUCAGCAAGAGAUCAUUCAUCCUACAUUUCGUGCUACUCAAGCCCUCAUUCCCAAACCCCAUCACUUCCUUCAACAAUGCCCUGCUCCUAUUAUUCCCAGAGAAAAAUCCUACAACUUGAGCUAAAUUGGUUAAGGCCCUCGCUUUAAUCCCAGCAGUAACAUCUGAGCAACGCUCAAUUAAUGCCUCCAAACAAGUCAAACCCCACAAGUUCUCAACUUUAUCACCUGAAUCCAAUCCCAAGGGGUCUCUCAAUGUCGUCAUCAACAUAAGAAUUAGGUCAACGGACAGAAGCCUAAAUUGACCUUUUCCUUGGCUCAUCUUGACUACAUAAUGUGUAAAUUCAACUUGAUCCUCAAACGCCAAAACUUUAACAAUCUCCAUAAUAGAUUCCACAGCCAAAGCCCUUGGCUCAGCCUUUUCCGGGGCCUUAUGCACCAAGUACUUGGGCAAAUUGACAACUGCUUUCUUAAUCUGACUCGAAUGGUUAGCCAAUCUCAUCAUUCUAUUCACCACAAACUGCAAUCCAAAACCUUUAGCCUGUGAUUUAGGAAGAAACAUCAAAGGUGUCAAACACUUCAAAACUUCAGCUGCAGAAACUGUCUGAUCCCCAUGCUCAGCUUUAAGCACUUCACUCAAAAUCUGAGAACUCAGCUCGCAUAACUUUUCAUAACUCCCUGAACUCCUACAAACCUCAACUGCCACAACAGGAAUCUCAGCCACUGUCUGAACCAAACUCCUCAAACUAUCCGGAAACCUAUCCAAAUGAACCAAGCCCAACACUGAUUCCAACCUCUCCAGAACACUAAAAAACACCCUCGCCUCAAUAACUCCCUCUUCACCGUCAUUUUCACUCUCUUCCACCUGUUUUCCCUUAUUUUUCCCCACCCCUAGCCUCCCUCCACCGCGCUUUUUUCUACCCCGAUUGUCACCCCCAGGACCGUCAUUAGAAACCAGAGAUGGGUUCUUGAAAGCCCAACGAAUCGACCGCAACAGUGACACAAAAGCCAUGGGAGUGAACAGAGUUAAAACAGGAGAAUUAGGGGAUAAAAGCAAAGAAAGGUAAACAUUUGAGGCUAAAAGGGAAAGAGUACUUCUUGUGGGUCCGGUAGAAUCCAUGAGGGAGGAAAUGGAACUGGUUAAUGAAGUUAAAGAGAGGUUUCUUGAAGAAAUUUCAGCAUAAAAAGAUUCAAGAUCUGUUGAAUCAUUGGUUCUGAGUGUGUAAUCCAGAAGGGUUUGAAGGUCCUUGAGAGAAAUUGCUGAAAGGGGAUUUUGGGCUUCCAGUUCUGCAAGAAUUCUGUUGAUGGAUUCUUCAUCCAUGGUUGAAUUGAUCGACUUUGGGCUCUGGAGAUUGAAGGGUUCUGCUGCUCUAUCUAUUACUGAGGUCCAUGGCUCGGUCGUUCUUCAAGAUUGCAACUUUCAUCUUCAUUUCUAGGCUGAGGGCUUCAAAUUUUUUGGCUUUCCCGCUCUAACAUUGGGAUAAAUACUGCUCCAUACAACAUUAACAACGCCUUUUCGUAGCGUCUAAAGUACUCUAGACAGCGCUUACUUAGAGGCACGGUUUCAAGCUUCUGAGCUGCCUUUUUGGGUCUCGAAUGUACUCUAGAAAGCGCUUAGUUACCAGCACGGUUUCAUUCUCAGGAGCGGGAGGAACAAGGGAUAUACUAGAGUCUCUUUUUACGUUACUACGCUACUUGCUGCAUGGGCUUAAAAGUUCUACUUGGAAUUGGAUCUAGCUUUCCCGGGGAAAAAUAAUUUAUACCUGAAAAUUAUUUUGAUGACAAAAUUUUAUAUGCAAAAAUACUAGAGUAAUUUAUACAGACAAUACAUACACUAUCAUAAUUAGUUAUAUGAUAUAUCUGUAAAAUUUGAAUUUCAAAUUUAUAUUCGAAUUAUGUAUCGGACAUUCAUUGAUAAAAGUAUAUGGACUCUCAGUAUAUAGAAGAUAAUCUAAAAUAUUAUACUCCACUUUUGUAAAGUUCCUUUGAAGAAUGAUUUAGGAAAUAAACACUGGUUAUGUAAAACAAAUAGCAUUUCAUGGCAUGCAAGAUUUACAUAUAUUCCUAGUUUAGGUCAAUUAGAGAGUUGCAAUGUCCAUGGCCUGAUUUCACAGCUAAACAAAUAGCACCACCGUUGAGAAUUGAUCCUUUCAACUCCGGAAAUUUUCAGAAGGAUUCGAAAAAUAUCGAGCAAUAAUGAAAACUAUUUAGCUAUAUUUUCUUUUGGUUAACUAUAUUUUCUUUUGGUUGCAGAAUGUGGAUCACAACAUGAACCAUAAGAUUACGCAAAUCUAGAGUUUAUAAGCAACAACAUACAGCUUAUUACAUGGAAUGUGAGUUUAGAACCAACAAUCUGCAACUUCUCCUCUCCAUGCUACAUUUUCUAUAUUGAGCACUUUUUGUGUUUCUCAACCCAAACACACACACACACACACACACGCAAGGGCAAAAGAAAAAAGGUUGGUACGUCUGGUAGGUAUACACCUCCUCAUUAAAUGCAAUUACUCACCUCAUUACAAAGCCUGGGAUUCGUCCUUAGCACUAUAUAUACUGCUAAUAAUAUGAUUAACAUCUGUAAGUGAAUGAGAAAAACAUCUCAUAAAUAUCUCACUCUCUUUCCUUUUCCUAAAUCGUGCUUAUUCUCAUAGAGUCUUCAUUAUUUUGACUCCAAGCCUUUGAUUUGACGAAAGAAUUAACCAGGUUCAACCAGUGUCUCUACUGGAGGCAAGCCUGAUGAGGAUACUGACGCUGGACUGCAAGAAAAUGCUCCAGCUGAAUCCUAUUCACUAGCAAAUUAUCUGCCAUAACAGAGACAGCAAAGCUGCUAGAUGUUUGGCCAAACAUCCUUCCAAUUUAUUUUAUUUUGUAAGUGCUUCCACUUUGAGGGUAUAUAAAUUAAUAAACCCCCUUAUUGUGGUUUGCAUAUUUUCAAAAUGGAAGCAGAUAUUUUGGUUGUAAACGGCUGACUGGGAUAUAAACCUUCUAGCUAGUAAUGAUACGAUAUUCCUCUCUAGUUUUUGACUAAAGCGUGCUUAACUGGGUAUGAUAUCUAUCUGGCUUGGAACUUUUCACUUAUCUUGAACAAUCGAGUCAUUAACGUUCUCUUCCUACCCAAGCAUAUAAUUUUGAGUCUUUGACGAACUUACACACAGAAAUGUCCAACAUCCCUAUAAUAUUAGGCUACAUGACAAUGAUGUUGGCUAAUACUUGUAUGCUGUAGCCAUCUUUUGGCUUCUUUUUACAAGUAUCAUGAUCCAACCUUGAAAAUAAAACUGUAUAUGCCGAUAAAAUUAAGUGACAUUGAAAUCCAAAACUGUAAUGCAAAUAAAGCUACACGACUGACUUUUGCUAUCAACUGACUAUAUCUACUUGCCAUAUCGCCCCUAUGAGAUGAGAUGUAUGCCUUACUCGGCCGCACCUAAAAAUCGAAGUGUAUCCCUGCAAGACUCAGAAAUGAUGCAAUAUGUGUACGGUCUACAGACAGAUUAAGGAACGCAAAAAGUCCAAUAAACAUAUUAUAGAAAAUAUUGGAUUGUAUUCUUUCCUUGAUACAGCUCACCACCAGCUGGUAUAGACAGGGAAAACCAUUUAUUACACGCAUGCAUAAUACUUAAAGGAAGUCAAGGAAUGUCUCGCAACAACACAAACAUAAAACAAAGCAGUCGAAACAUGACUGGAUUAAGAAAACAAAGUCUUCUGGAAAAUUCCCUUAGACCAAACUAGGUUUGGUUGCCCGAUAUCCAGGGUUAUUAAUGGUUUCUGCAUGAUAAGCUUCACAGGAAGUGUAUCAUUCUUGGAGCAUCUGCAUCUUCUGGAUUCGCAGCCUCACUGGGAUUACCGCCAUAGUCGCCGGUAGAUGGAAAAAGAGGCGGCGGCUGCUCCAUGUAAAGCUCCACAUGAUGAUCAGCAGCAGUAGUGCAGCCUCUGCCCUGACUGAACACCGAUGGCUCUGGUCCAGCUAGGUUCAGCUCAUGGCGAGGAACCCAAUAUGGUCCUCCUCUACUGGCUAACACAACCUCCAUCAAUGGAGAUGGCGGAUUGCCCCCGUGCAAAAUGGGGUACGUCGCCAGACUUGGAUGAAAAUGAGGUCUGCCAACAGAAGGAUAUAUAAUAAAUUUUCUUCAUAAUUAUAUGCUUAAUUAUAUCAAAAUACUAGUUGUAAUUACAGACAUGCAUAUAUUGAUGUACGAACAUUUAGUAGCAGUAUCGGUUAACACUCAACAGUAGGUAUUAAAUACGUGGAAUUCAUUAAAAAAAACAUGGAUUUGAAUGACGGAUCAUGCGAUAACAAGAAAAAGGUUUUGACUCAUUUGGAUAUCGAUCUCGGACAUGCAUUUAGUUAAUCAUGUAACAAGCUGGCAGAAUAUUUAACUUGCUACUAAAAAAAAAAAGAGUAGAACUUACCCAAUGGGGACAAGAGCAGCAGGGGGCCUAUAGUUGACGACAUUGUUGGCAAGGCCAAUUGCAGCAUCAUUAAUAUUGCUUGCAUGGAGAGGGGUGGAGGGUGGUGCCAGCCGUGCUAGUGUCAAGGGGAAAUAGUUAUGCUGGGGGACACCGACGUCGGGGAAACCAACGUUGCUGCUAUUGCCUGCAUGUUCAUGACAUGUUCGAACAAACAUCUUGUUUUUUUUUUUUUAAGGAUUAAUAAAAUGAAAAUAAACCUUUUGUUUUUGCCGAAAGAAGAACUUACCUCCAACUUGGAGUGCCCCUGUUGGCCUGCCAAAUGUAGAAGAAUGAUAUCAAUAGUUCAAUAUAGUAUAUGCUAAGCGAAUUUCAUGUCUCUCUCUAUCAUGGGAAUAAAAUUCCGGGUUAAUUAUAUGUCAAUUUAUUUGCUGGCCCUCCUUGAAAUUAUAUGUCAAUUUAGUGGAGACGCUUAAGUUCAAUUUGGCAUUGAAAUAGUUCAGAUGCAUACAGGCCUAAAAUUUGAAAUAUAUUUUGAAGAAUAAAAAAUGUUAACUUAGAAGUAAUAAGCUUGAAAAGCACUCACCCCCCCCCCCCCCACAACAAAACUCUUCACAAACUAUAUCUAACUUCAACAAGUAACUGUAUCUUAACAUCUCUGAGAAAAAUGAAGAAGGUAUGUAAACGAAGAUUUCAACGUCAAAUGCUUAAUUUUUGAUAGAAAAGGAAAAGGAAAGGAUCAAAAUCUUAAAGGCAGGAAGCUCUUCAGUAAAGUGUUCACCUGUAAACUCGUAAAGGCCAUGCAUCAUCAUUUUCGUCGGGCCCUGGGCAGUGAGGAUGCCCAUGUAGACACUGAAAAAAGCUUUGGUUCUGGUGCUCCUGCUCCUGCUCCUGCUCCUGGUCAUGGAGAAUUCAAGCACUACAGUUAGCAAUCGCUGAAGUAUAAUGCAUAAGAUGUAUGAUUAUUAUCGUCUAGUGAUUGGCAUUUUUUUUUAAGUAUCUAAGCUGGAAAUCUGAACAGCAAAGUUGCUCACAUUCUUUCUUUGUACUAAGGGGUACAGAACCUCUACAUGUCUACUAAAGCAGCAUGGCCAUGCAACUGAAUUACUAGAGUAAAUUUGCCUGGCUUUAAUUAUCUGUAUAAAUUUACUCUGAAUUAACAUAGCAAGAAUUAUUAUAUAUAGUUCUAUUGUUAGCAUAUAUAAACGGAUGUCACAGUAAAAUUGCUCUUAAAUUAUGGCUAUAUCUUCUGUGUUAAUUGCCGAUAACGGCACUGCCAGUCAUCUUCACUGGAUUUGCAACAGCUACCAUUAUCAUUAAACCAUUCUAGUUUGUAGGACAAAGCACAAGCAAUAGUCCAUAUAGGGCUAAACCUAUCUAGUUUUUGCUUCCUAUCUGUCUUGGGUUUCAAAAAAUUUUCCCUUGCAUUCUCCUGGCCUUCGUCUGUACUGCCUGUUCUUACAAGUCACAAGCCUAAUCUAGCGGAUAGCAAAUUAUUUGACGUUAAUUGUACUCUUCACCUUAGUACAACAUGAACUGAAAAAAAGAUUUAAAGACAUAGAAGUGGUAUUACCGCAUCUGCAUUGCUGGUCUCCUCAUCACUCUCUUCAGCAAUGACAUCAAGCAUAGGAUCUUCAUCAAUGGUAUCAAGCCCAGGAGCUUCCAUGCAGUACAACCAAUCGCUGGUUUCCAUCGACCUGCAGUUGGGGCACUGCAUUGCACCCCUGGCGUUAAACUCGCAUCCAAUGCAUGCUGCAAGAGACAAACAAAAAAUUGUUAAGUUAAAACAACAAGUUUAAAUCACUUGCAGGUAGAAAAAAGAAGUAGAAUUAACAAAAAAAAUAAUAAUAAAAGGAGGAAGAGAUUAUGGUAAAAGUUAUGAUGCCACUAACAUGAGAUCAGGAAAAACUAGACAUGUACACAGGACAUUUUUUGUUUGCUCACUCUCUUCUGAGAGGUAUUCAUGGAUUCUCAAACUUAAACGGCUUAUAUAUCACCAGUUCACCACCAGUUUAAGCCGAAAUAUUCUUAUGACUUUGUAAAGAACAAAAGUUGAUACAUAAAAUAUUUUUUUAGAGAUCAAGCAAAAUAAAAUAUUUACAACAGUGUGGACUCGCCAAUUUGCCCAUUGAAUCAAUUGUACGUACUUAUUAUUCCUUUACUUAUUUGGGUAGCUGACACCUGCUAGUUCUAGUAGAAAAGUCACAAUUGUUUGUGGACAUGAAAUUCUGGAUGGGGAAAAAGAUAAUACGGUCUGAUCUUCAACAAAUCAUAAAAGGACUCUUUUUAUUCCCCAACAGAAGAAUCACCAAAACCCUCUUUUAAAUAUGAUGCAGACAAGAAAAGAAAGCAGUACAAGUUUCGAACUCCUAUGUAUGAUAACAUAACAAAACCUACCUUUGAGCUUAAUUCUAAGUGAAAGUACCUAUGACCUAUCCAAGAAUUAUUCUAUACACUAAACUGGAUUUUGUAAUGCCAGUAAAUAAUUGUAAAAGCUACAUGAGGAAUUACUGAUUUAGAUGUAUGUAAGACGGGGCAAAGUUGUCUUCCCCUCUUCUUGCUUUGAUGUGAAUUCAGAUUUAUAUAUGUAAACCAAAAAUUUCGAUCCACUUGUAAGGUAAAUUAUACCAUUUACCAUUGAAGUUUUUUUUUUUUUUUUUUUUGGUUUUAACUAUACACUGGCCGGUAUGCUUAAUCUUGCCCACAAGUUCUUCGAAAAAUCGGAAAUAACCAAUUGAAGUAUUUUUUUUCCACAACAAAAAUUAAUUCAUUAGAUGAAAAAAUGGCACGAAUAUUAUCCGAGGAAUGUGGCUAAGCAUAUGAAAUUCUCUAUCCGGGGAAAAGAUAAUAUAGUCAAUCAGGCAAUAAGUAUUCAUACUAUAUGCCCCGGUAUAGAAAAAUCGUCAAAACCCUUUUUAUCUUUAAGAUGUUAUAAAGUAAAAAUAUAAACCGAUAUACCCUUGGGAUUGAAUAUAAGAGAGUAUCUACCCCCAAGUUCUUUUAAUUGAUGGACUUCAUUAGUUUUUGUUAUAAGUAAUUAAAGAACUGUAAAAAUUGCACCCACAAAUCAGAGAAGAAAAUGGAAUAAAAGAUUUAUAACCAAGUAUAAUGGUGCAAAAUCGUCUCCCCUUAUCUUGCUUUCAUGUAAAUUCAGAUUCAUUUAGGUAGACAGAAUUUCUUGAGAGGUGAUCUAUGCCAUUUGACGUUGUAUUGUCUUUUCCCCCCGCUAGAUAGAACAAGGAUAACCCAUUAAACAAAAAAAAAAAAAUUUUAAAAAAGGUCAUAAACUCAAAUCAGACAGAAAAACACCAAAGAGAAAGGAAGCAUCCGAGAUCAAAGAAUCCUUCUAAGAGAGACAGGUACGAACACUGAAUAUAAAUCAAAGGACAAACAAAAAGAAAAGAUAGAGAGAAAGAGCGAGAUAGCUAUACGUAACUUGUAGGGUGAAAAAACUUAUAAGACCAAGACUUUGGACAAUUCAAUCUCAGGCAAUCACGUACGUAUGGAGAUAAUCAAUAAUCAAGCAAAUGAAAAGAGCAACAUUAAUUAGGAAAUCCACUUAAAACCUACACAAAUGAAAUGAGUGGCCACAUUUCAGCUUAGCAAUGGCUCGGGAGUUGUUGUCGACCACGUCCCCCAAGCAAAUUGAACACUCUCCGAUGAAUGGAGUUUCCUGUGCAGCAGAAGAAACUUGACUUCUGGAAGCCAUAACUCUUAAUCUCACAGGCACUUGUUGCUCCCACUCUACACAGUGUAUCUUAACAGAUAUUAGACCCAAUAAUAUUUGCUUGUAUAUAUAGAGAUUAGCAGGUUCAUGAACUAUUUUAUUCCUUGUCAAGUGUAUCCACCUGGGCUUCGGUGUAGAAUGGCUCCUUGUCAUAAAUGAUUCUGUUAAUAUGGAAAGUAAAUAAUAAUGGUUACCAUAUUUCCAAAAGGCAAAAUCAAAUUACAAUGUACUUUUGAACUAGAGUAACAUUGGCCCUCUAAACUUUUACAUGUAGCAGUUGACCACCAAAACAUCAACUCUAACAUUUGAGACAAAAACUCAUCACCCAUUCUGCCUCUCUCCCUAAUGCCAUGUAUGUUGAGCUUACAAAGGAACAUAUAGUAUAGAAGGCCUUUUUUUCAUUAGUAAAACUCAAGGGGCGAAUGUAACAUUACCCAAAAGAUACAAGAGAAAUAUGAAUUUUCUUAAAGAACUGAUGCACCCCUCUACUCGUUUUAGUUAUUGAUGUACUUUGUUCGGCAUUAUUCAAGUAUAUCCAAGCUGUCACUGAAAUCUUAAUUACCUGUCUUUUUGGGUGCAACCUUGCUCUAGAUUUGAUUUUGCUGACACAGAAAAUAAAUCACUAUUAAACUUGUGGACCAAAACAAUUUAUGAAAACAUAUCUGAGCAUUUAUGCAUGUCAAACAACUUUUAAGCAUAACAACAUAAUGGCGUGCUGCAACAAAUGAAUUAUGAGUAUAUCAAAGCAUACAAUUUUCUUUUAUAAAACGUCAACUUUAGUUAUUUUACUACACUGCUGAAGCAUUUAGUCAAGGGUAUAUGUACGCACAUGUAACUGUGAAACCAAAAUUUUUCAUUAAGGUUAGGAUUUAAUUUGCUCGUGACUAGGGAUAUUUCUGGAGACUUUGCACUCAUAAUGAUGAGUUAUAAAGUAACAUCAAAUUAUUAUAUCUUUAAUUAAUAGUCUAAACCCUAUUUUCUAUAUUACAUGUACAGCGAGAAAUAUAAUCUUGUAACCAUUUAAUUAAGGAUUAAACUCAAUAACGUAUAAGUCAUCGACGACAACUAACCCUAACAAGGUUACACUCGCUCAAAAAUAAGUAAUAUUUGGUAUUUUUGCGAUUCUAAUCUAUACUUUGUAAAAGUGAUGAUUAAGCAAAAACUUUAAUGAUAAUCGAUCUUGCAUCCUAAUAAUUGUAUGUAUUGCAUGGGGAAUACCUAGGAGAAAAUUAAUAAAACCUAAAAUGAGUAUUGUUUUCACUAACUGAACACUUAUUAUCCACUUUUAUUUUCUAAAAAUGUAUACAAUAUAAUAAAUUUCUAAUUAGUAACUGCAGUGAAAGAAACAAUUGAAACCCUAUCUAUGUAAUGAAAGAUAUGACAAACAUAUGAGCAUUUUUUUUUUUAGAUUUUGUAAAGUCAAUGGUAAGGUAUUGAUCUUAUUUGGUUUUAUUUAUGUUUUAUGGAAGUUAAAAGAAGUUUGCUUUUUAUGGCCUAUAGAUAUUAAUAUAACUAAAAAUGCAACAUAACUCAGCUAAUAGAUUUUCUUCAUCAUUUUAUUUGAAUUCUUUCGUCAUUCUUUCUAUUAUAAAAAUAUGUACAUAUAUUUUUCGAAUUCUUAAAAUAAUUUUCUAAACCAUGGACUGCAAUAUCAGCUCCAAUGCAACACUAUAUCGCAAAUUCACCUGUAUCUAAAGCUUAUUAAUUUGCUAGUUUUCUAGCUGUUAAAUACUAUCAGAAGGUUAUAUGUCCAACUCCAUCCAAUUAAAAGCUUUGUAGUUCAUGAACCAUCAGUUUUCAAUGCAUCCUAAUCCAUAGUUUGGUCUUCAUACUUUAAUAGUUAUUCUAACUUGUUGAAUAAAAUAUAUAGCGAAUAAGUUUGCUCAAAUCUGCAAGUGACUAUUUAGGGAUCAGUUAGAUGAUCUAAAAAAUUUUUUGAAACAAAAAUGUUUUACAAAUAUGAUUAUUUCAAUUGAACGUUCGAAAUACCAAAAAAAAAAAAAUUUUGAAUCAACACUCUUGGGCAAAAACUCAUGAGGCAUAAACUUUAAUUACAUCCACUAGAACAAAGAGGAUCCAUAUUUGAAAACAAUUUCUUUUAGUAAUAAAUAGAUUCAAAGGAAACUAUAUGCCUUGAGUAGAGAAUUAAUAACUCACUUCAAAUUACAAUGACAAGGGAAUUAGACCUUUCACUCAACUCAAUGAAUCACUUGGUCCGAGCAGAGCAUUAGAUGCCAUGCCAUGCCAUGCAGAUGUCUAGAUUUCUUUGUGCACUAAUUGUGCUUUAAUCCUUUUCAAUUAGUACUUUUUUGCCAUUUAUUUAUACAUUGUUUUACUUAGGAAUAGUAGCCAGAAAUUAAAAUUUUCUGACAGAACAAUUUCAUCGGUGAUAGAUUUUAGUACAGACUGCAAAAGUUAGGCUGAACUUUUCUGCUCAAAAGAGCAGACCUCAAUUUUGAUAGGCCCAAGUUUCUUACCCAGGACAAUUCCAUUGCUACAGAGUAUAGAGCCCAACCCAAAAUUAAAAAGUCCGUCCUGUCAUUGAGCCCGCGAAUUAAUCCAAAUCUGGAACUCCCGAUUCAUCUGAGACAGAGAAGGAUGAAAUUGUCAAUAAACGAAAAGAUUAUCCUAUUUUCGUAAAUUGAUGUUCUUCUUCUUCCCCCAGAACCCUCGCCCUAUAUAUUGUGGCUGCCCAAGCUUCAGAGGUCCCUCUCUCGCUCAAUCUCUCUCCCUUGUAGCAGUACCCUUUUGUCUGGAGCGAUACGAGAGCUAGGCUUGUCCUCAUCAUCAUCAUGUUGGUCUAUCAGGAUUUACUCACCGGUACACACAAUUUUGACUUUUGUUUUUCUGGUUUUACGAAUGAAUUUGUAGUUCUAUAGAUGUGUGAUCUGAUUGAGUUGCUUUUGCUUUCUGGGCUUGAUUUUUAGUUAUGUAUAACGGGUUUUCGAUAGGGUUUUUGCAAGGUUAAUUUCUAGAUCUGUGUUAGAUUGAAUCUGUAGUUUGCUCUGAGGUGGCCUUUAGUUUUUGAGGGGUUUGAUGGUUAAUUGGAUUCUGAAUUGUUACCAAUGGUUUAAUUUUUCUUUGUUUUUGCUCUUACUGAUUGUUUGUGAUUUGAUUCCUAUUAAAAAUUAAGUCUUUUUUAAAUUUCCGUGUUAAAGAUUAAGUCUUUUUCGCAUGCGCUCGGGAAUUGGUUGAUUACAGAACUUAUCUUUUGGUGCAAAAGGUCAGCGGAAUUGUUUGGUUGUCGCAGUUUUUAGGUGGAUAUACACGUGUUGUUACUAUUGAGAGUGGAUAUCUACCCGGUUUUUGACAUCCCCCUCCCAAAACACCAGUUGGUCUUUCUGCCUAUGAACAUUUUGGAAUGGGUUGGAGAAAGGCUGAUUCUGCUUUGUAACUUGGAUCGGAAGUCUGUGUGAAAUUUCUUUUGUUAUUGAAUUGAUAGAGUGGGACUAAACUUUCUCUUGGAUAUAAAAAGAGAUUUAAAAGAAGGAUUGUGCUCAUUUUAAUUAAUCCGAUUUUGUACUAUUAGCUAUUGCUGAUUAAUGUCCCCUGCUACUUUCUCUUACACCGGCUUUUAAGAGUAUGUUUUGAUUUGUUUUGGUGAAUCUUGUGUUUAACUCUCUUCUUGAUUCACUUCUAUGAUUGUGUAGGUGAUGAGCUUCUCUCGGACUCAUUUCCAUACAAGGAAAUUGAGAACGGGAUCCUCUGGGAAGUUGAGGGAAAGGUGAAAAUUGUUCUCUUUUCUGUUUAACUUGCUUAAUUUUGGAAAAGAUCUGAAUUUCUAUUAUGAUGAUCAUUACUUGUGCAAGCAUUAUGACUUGUCUAUUGUUGGUAUGUUGGCAACCAAUGAGUUUCUUAUUCCAGCAUCUUUUUACCUUACAUAAGAGUAUAAAUGAUUAAGAGUUUUGUAAAGUCUGAUUUACUGCAAAUUUGUAAAUUCCAGUGGGUUGUCCAAGGAGCUGUUGAAGUAGACAUUGGUGCAAACCCUUCUGCUGAAGGUUGUGGAGAGGACGAGGGUGUUGAUGACCAGGCUGUGAAGGUGGUGGACAUAGUUGACACAUUUAGGCUCCAGGUUUUUGUCUGAUUUUACUAUUUGGAUGAGGUUGACUAUUGCAUUUAGGGAAUAUGAAGCUAAUUUAUUACCUUGCAGGAGCAACCUCCUUUUGACAAGAAGCAAUUUGUUGCAUACAUAAAGAAGUAUAUCAAGUUGUUGACGCCAAAGAUAGAUGCAGAGAAGCAAGAGCAUUUUAAGAAGAAUAUUGAGGGCGCAACCAAGUACUUGCUCUCAAAGCUCAGUGACCUCCAAUUGUGAGUGCAACCUCCUUUAAUGCCCCCUCGUUCACUUUCCUUUCUUUUUCUUAUUUUUCUGCCUGUAAUUCUUUGGAAGUAUUUGAUUGUUUGAGCACACUGCAAAUUAGAGUUUUUAUACUAAAUGGUCAAGGUUCACUCAUGUUGACAGUUUUGUGGGGGAGAGCAUGGCCGAUGACAGUACCUUGGUGUUUGCUUACUACAAGGAUGGUGCCACCGAUCCGACUUUCUUGUAUUUUGGCGUUGGCCUGAAGGAGGUCAAGUGCUAGAUAAAAAUAAUGUUGUCUUUGGGCUUUGAGAGGGACUGGUGCUUGCUGUAGUUUUAGUAGUUGUUAUUGCAUUUUUGAUCUGUGUACUUUGCAACUUAUCGAGUUUCCUUGACUAUUAAUGAUUGUUUUUCCUGGAUCAGAGGUAUCUUAUAAUUUACAAAAUUCUCUAAUUAUUCUUGGUAAUGUUACCCGCGCCCAUUAGCGUGUCUUUGUAAAGCUUUUUCUGCCUCCCUUUUAGCUAAUUGGCGUGUUUAGAAAUUAUAAUAUUACUCAGGGAUUGAGUUGAUUGCUCAGGAUUUAUGGUAAGUUCAGAAAAAUCUCAAAGAUUAUAUAUCUCGAGCAUCGGUCGAGUGUAUCUGCAUACUUGUAGAUAUACAUCUAUUUUUAUUUGGCAAAUAUGUCGGCUACACAUUGUAAAGAUCAAACACCUGAUAACCGGUAUAAUGCAGCACUGUGACUAUUAGUCCCAAAAUCUGAGAUCCAGUCUAUGGGAUGCAUUGAAUACAAGUCACAAGACCAUUGGGUUAAUCCUAGGAUGGGCAGGUAAUUUUACGAAGAAAAAGCAAGGUACUUGUAUGAGGGCUUGAGCUCGCUACUAUGUCGAUGAAGAACAGCAAAUGAGACUGCUGCAUCCUAUGUUAAGUGAUGCGCUGAUGGUCAUCUGGGCAGGCAGCCAAAAGCGUGACCCGGAAAACUCGAAACCGCUUUGUCAUAUGAUUGAUCAAGUCUCGAGAGGGAGGGUCCCUGGUGGUGUAUGUUAGGCUUCUUCCUUGGGUGGUGUACUUUAGGCUUCUUCCUUGGGUGGUGAGUUUAACCUCGUAGGAAAGAUGGAAGGCUAUCCAUUACAAUUAGCGUGUCUCUGUAAAGCUCUUUCUGCCUCAUUUUAGUUAAUUUUCAUGUUUAUGGAUUAAGCUUUAUUCAAAUUCUCAGAAAUUAUGGUAAGUGUAAGAAGGAAGAAAAAAAAACUGUAUAUCUUGGAACAGUGAUCGAGUGUGUCGCAUAGGACUAUAAUGUGUCUGCAUACUUGUAAGAUCAAACACCUGAUCACUGGCUACCAAAAGGGUUAAAACAUCCUGAGACUAUUAGUCAUAAAAUCUUAAUCCCAGUCUGAAGGAUGAAUCAAAUCAAAGUUAAAGACCAAUGGGUUAAUCCCAUAGUAGGUUUUUAGUUUUACAAUAUCAUAUAUAAUUAACCCUGUCAGCUAUUAAAAGAAGAAAACAAAUGCUUCUUCCAACAAAAAAUAAAAAUAAAAAAAAGAAGGAAAUACUCUUAUUCUGGCAUGAGCUCACUACUGAUGACUGGAUUGACCAAUUGCUUAAACACUAAACUUGCAGCAUUGAAGAAGAUCAGCGAAUAGAAGAUUACUGUAUCCUUGUAUUCUUUGAUGGUCAUUUAGGGAGUCAGUCAAAAACUUGAUCUGGAAAACUGAAACCUCUUUGCCAUCUGAUUGAUCGAAAAGGAGGGCCUGGGCUUUAGUGGUGUACUUUAGGCUGCUUCACGAUCAUCACAGAGCAGUGAGCAUGGUGGGAGCAGUGAUCGCUGACGCUGCCCAGAACAACCCUGCAGAAUUAACAAGGUUGAGUUCAGGGAUUCAUUGGUACCAUCUUUUAAAGACUUGAAAAUAGGUUCACCUUUUCAAAGCCCCAUAUCCAUGGCUACCGAGAACCAAGAGAGAUGCAUGAUGUUUGUCAACGGCAUCACACAUGACCAUCCUGGCAUCCCCUUCGAUCACUUCAAAUUCUGCAUCUUCCACCUGCAUAGAAAAUUAUGAUUGGCUUAUCGUAAUCAUGCAUCAGGCUCUUAUCAAACUACAGAAACUUUGCACUAUACAAAAAUGAUGCUCAAAAUUUUCAGCUUCCUCACUCCUUUUUCCUUGCAGAGCUCCUUAGCUUGCUCGAUAAGCCUUUCAGCUGUCCUCUUCAGGUCGGCUUCCACAAGUGGUAGCACGUCCGUGGAUCCUACAAGCAAACAAAAUCUUGUUAAUGCAAACAAGAGCAUGCCUUAAUGCCUAAAAGUUUAUUCGAUUGUAUGCAUGAAAAUGAAAAUCUGUCAGAUGAAAGGGUUACACAAUUGACAAGCUUCCUUUUAUCUCUGAAAUUUUAUGAAAAGAAAAGAGGUAAUAUUCAUUUACCAGGUCCUGCAAGUCCAAUGACAGACGUAGGAGGAUAUUUGGCAUGGACAAUAACGAGCUUGAACAGGGCAUUCGAUGUAGGAGUAAAGAAAUGCUCAAGGGUCCACUUAAGAGCAUAAAAGCUAUGCUCACUAUCAUCAAUUGCAAGAAGCAUCACUUGUUUCCCACCCGCCAUUGUUGUUUAUUUGUUGAUUAAUUUGAUGACUUCAAUCAGUCUUCUCGUUGAAUGGAAAAAGUGCUGAGUAUGAUUUAUGAAUGACCUGAUCGCAUCCCAUUUGAUCAUUUAUAUAGGCAUUCUGGGAUCCGCAGGCUGUUAGAUUUGCAACGACGAUGUCCUUUCCCAAUCCGUUGAAUUCGGAUUGAAUGUCGGAAUUUCGCGACGAGUGACGGAGUUCUUAAGGAAACCAAUUUUUUCUCCUGAAGACUUGGUCUCUGUCCAAUGCACGGCAGAUAAACCAGGCAAAGUUUGUUGUACUGUUGUCCUUCAAGUUCCUGGUCAACUAGCUCUUUGGGUUUGUUUUUCCGUUUUAACCAUCUUUUUUUUAAGCAUCAAUGAAAAGAAAGAUGUUGCAUUCAGUUCCUACAAAUUCUGAUGUUUCAAUUUAUUGAACUCUUUUUUUUUUUUUUUUUCUUUAGUGAAAUGUUCCCUGUUUCGUUUCUGGAUUUUCUCUUUUUUACCUCUGUCUUCACAUAACAGAGCAUCUUUAAUGAAAUGUAAUAUACUACUUGCUAUAUUUGCUGCAAGGCCUUGGAGAAUUGUUUGCUAUAUUAAAAUUAAGUUGCAUUUGUUACAAAUCGUCAAAUUGAAUGGAUUUUUUCAAAUUGUUAAACCUGUAUAAAUCGAUUGGAAUUGUCAUCAAACAUAAUAUACACUUUUCCUAUCUAUUUUAUUUAUGCGUUAAUACUUGCUUUUUAUUACAACAAAUUUUUUCCUUUUAUUAACCAGCAAUGCAUUAAGAUGCUCUUUAUAAUAUAUUUACGCAUGACACUUAACUCAUAAACAAUCUUUCAAAUUUUGUUACCUUUAAACACUUUAGAGUGGGUAGACACAGCCAGGCCUUACUAGUAUAUAUAAUAUACGUAUAUCUUCUCACACAAAAUUGGAGAGAAGACCAGAGAGGGCCUUUAUAUUCGUUACGUGUUGGGUUGUGUAAUCAACCCCCCAACCUAUUUAUGUUCACCCUUGUCUUUGUAUAUCUUACUUGGCCUCCAACUUAUUUUGUCAAAAGCAAAAAUUCACUCUUAUUUAUUAAUUUGCAGAAAAUCAUCCUACGUGACCAAAGAAUUUCGCUGCCAUGGCCGCGACCGACGACGAUCUUGAAUCUAAAAGGGUAGUUUUAACAGUUUCAACGACCGUGACUUCAAAUUCGGACGGAGUAUGCAUAUUCCAUUCAAAUAUACUCGGACAAAUUGUUUGGAUUGCAGUUUUCUGUCGAAAAAUUACGUUAUUUUUCGUAAUCAUAUUUCUCUAUUACCUUUUUCCCUCGCAUACAUCAAAUCGUUACGGUAAUUUUUCCAUGAAAAAUCAUGGAAAAUGCAAUCCAUACACAACAAAUUUCUUGUUACUUUGUCGGACAAAAUUUAUUAUUUUCUUCAAUCAGUCCCUUCUUAGUUUCCGCAAUCAAGUUACAAACCAUCUGUAAGUAGAAAUCCUCUCUUCUGCUGGCUUAAUUGUAAUUACCAUUUGAUAUCAUUAGAUGUUUCCAUUUCCAUUAGAUAUAAUCAGAUAUUUCCAAGAAAAUUGGGUUCUAUUCUCAUGUAUUUCAUCUGUAUCCACCGGUAUUCAUUGAUUAAUUAUUCAACGCCAUCAUGAUUGCUUUGUCAACUUGGACUAUGAUAUCCUAAUUUCAGAUUACGCCACAUGCAGAGCCUAAUAACAGAUGCUCACCUUGUGAGAUCCAUCAUAUAUUAUUAUAACCCAAGUUUUGAUCUUAUGAAUAAGCUAAUUAAUAACUGCAAAUAAGGCCAUUAGUGUUAAUAAUAUAUACCAGCACUGCAUCAUUGCUAAUCUUUGGGAAGUUGGUGCAUCAUAGCUUAUAGCGCACAGGGUGGUGGGAGCUAAUUACCAGCUAAAGAGUCUCAGUGGAUGGAUGAAACCAACUUUCAUUCAAAUUGCACUCUUAAUCGUUGAAUCUCAUCAACCCCACCCCACAUACUUUAAGUAAAAGCAAGGCUUUUUUUUUUUUUUUUUUUUUGCAAAAGAAGUGUACGGCAAGCCAUGAUAAGUUAGGUAAUUUAUAUGCACAUCUUUGUAUACUUGGAUUCAAAAGUGCUUAAGGCUCCACGUUUGAAAUACGCAAGUAUGCAUCAUUCUUCUUCUUUGUUGCCCACCUAAUCAAACUCGUCCAAGAAGACUUCUUUUCUUUUUGUCUAAUUGAAGUGGCUAGGUUGAUUUAAAAAGAACAGAAAAUUCUCAGUUAACUUUGAUCCAUGUAAAACUCAUGUACUAAACCUUGCGCAAUGUAGAUUAGAUUAGUUAAGUACAACACAUAAACCGUUAACGUUGACACGAUAAGUUUACAAGAUGCUAUAACAUUUAGUGAAAAGACUUUGGACAUGUAUUAAAGAUAAUGGAAGAAUAGAGCAUAUUGAGGAAUCCCUCAUACUUUCAUAUAUUUUUUUCCACUUAGGGGGUGUUCCAGCCUUUUUUUUUUUUUUUUUGCCAGACUAAUCCCCUUAAACCCAACAGAGCCCUAUCCAAGGAUGUUAGCAAUUUUACCACAGCGAAGGUCGAACACGGGAUCUUACCGUAAAGACGGACUUAUCAGUCCUCGUGGGUGCUCGUACUUUCAUAUUUAGUACAGCUUGAUUUGUGUGUGGAAAUAGCUAUGAUCAAGAUUAUCAAGAUUUUCAAUUCAGAAUUUUCGAAAAGAAAAGGCAAAAAUUAUUUGAACAGCAACAUAGGCAUCAGACUAGCUGCAAAUUGCAUUUCUGCCAAACUUCUCAUAAUAGUUGCAUGUGAUGGAAAUGUAGCACCUCCUGUCCUGCCAACCAACUCAUUGGAUUAGGACGGAGGGCUGCCACUAUUCGGGUGGUUCGCAUUAAUUAACUUCAAUCAACUUGGAAUUAAAUUGACCAUUAAUUUAUACUAGUAUGUACUACUCCUUUGCCAUGAAUGCACACACUAUCACUAUGUAUAGAGAAGAAAAGAAAAAAGAAAAACAAAAGAAUAAAAGAUAGCAAGAAACUGAUUAAGGAUCUUCCUAAAUAUAGAAUAUAGUCUAUCUGAGAGGCCGGCAGUCAAAAGCAUCUUGCAAACCCCUAGCGUCCAUUUCCACCUAAAACAUUUAAAUAAAGGAAACUCCUAGUCCAUAUCAUAUUACAACCUCAGAAUGAGUACAGAGUUGUUCAGAUUUUCUUCCUUGUAAUUAUAUACCAAUUGUCUCCCGAAAACAAGAACUUGGACACGAUUCUGUUGACUAUUACUACAAUCAAAUUUACUAACUUUUGCCUUGUUGAAUCAGCCCUUUUUUUUUUCUAAUCGUGAUUCAUUGUAAAGGGUCCACUCCAUUCCAUUGUAGUACAUCUGCAAGGUUCUUGGAUAAGGAAGCGAAUUAAGAUGACGAAGGUUCUUGGGAUCAGACAUUGCAUUGCCAAGAGAUCAGUGCUUCAGUUGCUUUUACACUAAAAUCCAGAGACCGCCUCACGUGUAUACUAUUCAAGUAAUUAAACAUCAAGAAUUGUUAUAGAUAAGAGAGUUCCACCCAACCAUGCCACCAAACCCCCCCCCCCCCAACCACAAAAACAACCUCCUACAAAACCCAAAAAAGAAAAAAGAAAAAGCGAAAUGGGUUCUAAGUUCCAACUUCUGAGCCGUGCAUAAUGUAUAGGUUUACAUAUUGAGCAGGCUGGCAAGCUUAAGAGCAUGAGUUGUCUGAUAAAACAUAAAUAGGUUCAAGAAAAAGAUAAAGAUCCCAUUAGGUUCUUUAGUUACGAGUCUUGGGUGGAACUCAAUGGCAGAAUUUCGCAUUUAUAACUGUUUUCCUUAUUUAAUUUGCCCAAUUUAUUUACCAGCUCUUUGAGUGGAGUUCACACAUCGAGGUUCUUGUUUGUUCUAUUUUGUGGGGUGGGGCAUUGACGCAUUGUUGAUAAGAAGAAGAUGAAUUUGCAUAUUCGAUUUAUCUAAACAGCAGAAAUGAAAAGUAAACCACCUCUUUUUGCUUUCUGAUUUUAACAUAGUAUAGGGUUAUUUUGUGGUCUUGGCAAGAAGUUAUUUAUUGUCUUCUAGCAUCUUUGUUUAUUUGGACCAUCAAUAUCCAUGGCAUUCAUUAGUGUUUAUGUAUAUAUAAUUUUUUGUCAGAUAAGAACUAUAAAGAGAGACCGGAGGGGGGGGGGGGGUUUCUCAAAAUCAAGAAAUGAUGAUAUUUUUAUGGUGGCAUCCGAAUCAAAUAGAUAUUUGAGCAUUUUUUCAACUAAAACCUGAAAAUAUCAGUCAGCCACAUACUAUAACAUGCUAAUAAGGUUCCAAAGAAAAAAAAAAAAGAAAGAACAGGAGAAUAUCAAAAUUUGAGUAUUUACAGUAGGUACUGGUGGAAUCAAGAAAGCGAUAAAAGUGGGAGUUGAUAUGUUUGAUAAAACUAAAAGUGGACAAAAAAAUGUCAUCACUCUGCCUAGUUACCUUGCCUUGAAAAUAAUGGGACAAGUCAGGUCAAUCAUCCCUGGCUGCUGCAGUGACGACAAGAGAAUCAGACUGCAUGCAAGUUUGAGCUAGCUAAGGGUAAAUUGUCUGCUGCCUCCAACUCCGAGAGUUAUAGAACUAUGCGUAUUGUACACUGUGCCCCAUGCCCAUGCCACAGCUGGUUUGGUCAGAGAUGCAGGAAAAUUACUCAGAUCUGUUUCUGAGAACAAUAAUGCCACAAGGGCACUAAAAUACUCUCUCUAUUUCACUAGCUUAGUUUAACCUACCCAAAAGACAAAAAAAAAGGGGUUUAGUUUAACUUGGUGUUCACAUAAUAGAACUGUAGUAUAAGAUGGGUAUAUUAAAAGGUGGAAACUUUUCUUGGCACAUUAAAAGGGUUUGAUGUCUUUAAAAGGGGGGCUACUGAUGCCUUCAUUUUCCUAUCUUAUUACCAGCUUGUAAUCAGGAAAGUGCUGAGAAUGGAAUGUCCAAUUUUUCUCCAUGACUUUGAUUAUAGUUUUUCUUUAUAGCACAAGCUUCCAAUCAAGGCAGCAUCCCAGAAGCUAUUCAAAACUGGGGAGGCCAUUUUGAAAAAUACAUCACUUGAAGGCAUGCAUAGUGGUUGAGAUUAAUGUCUCAGAAAUUCAAUUUAUUGGACUCAGAAUUUCUCUGAGUUCCUCUCUGCUCUUUAAAUCUAACCCUUUCCGGAGCUUUCAUUUUGUUUUAGUUUGCACCCAUUUUAUAAAAUCUUGCAAAUGGUAAUUUUUAGCUUUAUGGAGAAAAUAAGCAAGCAGGGUAAAGACUAAAGAUGUCAUUUCACAUACUCAAAUAUAGCCGUUUCAGUUUUCCCUUUUUUUUUUAAAAAAAAAAAAAAAAAAUCACCUUCCAAUAAAUACCUCCAACAAACGAGAUAUAUGGGAUUAGAAUAUAGAUUAUAGAUUAUACAGAUAUAAUUUCUCCAUCAGAACUUGCUUGUGUCUCCGGCUUGUGAUAAAAUACUAACCUCAGUUUCUCUCUGUUUCUCAUCCCUCCAAAGCAAUCCCAAAAACACGCACAACACCCACUCAAUUUCAUACACUUCAAAUUCUCUAUAUUUUCUUUACACCAUCAAGUUAGGGUUUUUUGCUCAUUUCUCCCAGAUCUAUUCCCCCAGUUAGCCUGAUUCAUUCCCCCAGAUCGCACAAUUCUCACUCUUCUCCGGCAUCCGGUGAUCUCCCUGUCCCCCGCUUUCGCUCCCUUUUUUUUUUGCGUCAUCUGUUGCGAAAUUUAUGCUUAGAUAUCGAGAUUCAAGAUAAGGUUUUUUAUUUUAAUUUCUGCUACCUAACAUGCAUUGUGGAAUUGAUCAUUUCUAGGGCGGAUUUUAACUCCGAUUAAUCUCAUUUCUGUGAUCACCGGCGAAAUUUCUGAUUUUGAAUUGGAUUUUGGGCGUUUCAAUUCGUUAAUGUGCCGCUUUGAUUCGGACUUUUCACCUCACUGUAAGUAAAAUUUAGCAUUUUAAAAAUUUUCUUCGGUUUUGGCAGAUUUUUAAGUGUUUUUAGGAAUUUAGCGGUGACUUGUAUUACCUUUUUUUUUUUUUGGUGGGAAAGCUUUGGGAAUUAGAUCUUGAAAAUUGGCUCCUCAGCGGCGAUCACAGCGCCACAUGGGUGGCCAGAUGCAGCAGAGCAACGCUGCCGCCACUGCUCUGUAUGAUCACCCCGGCAAUGGGGGCCCCGCCAGCGGUGAUGCUGGAGACGCCGUUAUGGCGCGGUGGCUUCAGUCUGCCGGGUUGCAGCAUCUGGCCUCUCCAUUGGCCUCUACUGGUAUUGAUCAUCGGCUCCUUCCUAACCUUCUCAUGCAGGUGCUUUUCUACCUAUAAUGUCUCUUCAAUUCUCAGCUUUCUAAAUUUCAAGGAAAUGUCUAAAAAGAUUGAACUUUUGUAUCGAACCAAAAGAAAGUGCACUGACUAAUUCUUUUUAGAAUCAGGUGCUUCGAUUGGUAUUAUCUGGGCAUUGAGGUUUUCAUACCUGAAACUUCUACUUAGAUUGAGAGUCUGUUAUUUAUGCUUUCACCUUCGAUCUUUGAAGUUAAAUGAUAUUUGAUAUGAGGACUCGCCAGAUUUUGCUUCAGAAUAUCUUAUUGUGUUUUCAUGAUUUUUUCCCCCUUUUUUUUGGGGGGAGGGGGAGGGGAAGGGAGAGGGAGGGAGAUAGGUCGCUUGAUAUCUUUUGAUGGUUCCUGGGUUUUCGUUAUCCUCGUUUGAUAAAUGGUAACUCGUACAGUUUCUUUCGGAAAUUGCUUUGUGUAAUUGGCUUUAUUUAAGGACAUUUCAUAGAAAUGAAAAAUCAUAUACUUUUGCAUUUUGCAUUUGAUAUGGAAGAAAUCUAAUUAUCAAAAAAAGAAAUAUCAAGUGCCAAAUCUUAUAUUUGCAUGUAUUUAUCCUAUCAGUUUAGCUAUAUUAUAUUAGUUCAUGAAUAACUGUAGAAACUUGAUAUUGUUUAAAAGGGCUAUGGAGCACAAUCUGCAGAAGAGAAACAAAGGCUAUUUAAACUAAUGAGAAACCUGAAUUUUAACGGUGAACCUGGUUCUGAGCCGUACACUCCUACCUCCCAAAGUUUGAGUGGGUUUGCAGCAUCAGAUGGCUUUUAUUCUCCUGAAUUUAGAGGGGAUUUUGGUGCUGGCCUUUUGGACCUACACUCUAUGGAUGAUACAGAGCUCUUAUCUGAGGUUUGAUUCUUAUUUAUCUGGUAUUCCUGAGUUUCGAAUUUGAUACAAUUGGGUGCUUCCUGCUGUACAUUCACUUGUCAAAGGGUUUGGAAUGAUAAUGUGCCAUUUUGGUUAUUUUAAAUUGUUAGUUCCCUUUAUAUGAUUUGGGAUGUUGGGCAUUUAUUUGAUAAGGGAUCUUUAGCAUUUACUCUCAGUUUUAGACAUCUUGUUUUUUCCUCAGUGCAAGUUAUUUCAAUGGAGAUUCUUAUUUGUUGAUCAGGUUUCUACACUAUGGCACAUGAUGACAUAUAUUAGAAUUACAUUCAAAUGAGGAAUUACAACAUGUCAGAUAUGUUUAUGAAAUUCUUUUGUGAAAGAAAAAUUAUGAGAUACGCUUUCACAUGAUUUUGGCUUUUGAGUAUUAGCUUCCUUGUUUAAUUUAGUGGCUAUCUAAAGACAGUUAAAUUUGGCUAUCUAAAGGCAGUUAAAUUUUAUGUGUAGAUUUACUAAAUUGUAAAUGUAGUCAUUUAUAAUCAUCUGGCAUGGUUAUGAAUUCUGACGUUGCUGUGAUGACAUUAUACUGCAGAAUUUGGGUGUGUAGUUGGUUGUUCAUAUCUAUUUGCUGACGGCUAAUACAUACUUAUGGUUGGUAUCUUUGAUUUCCUCUUUCAGCAUGUCAUUUCGGAACCAUUUGAGCCGUCACCUUUCAUGCCAGCUGUGAGUAAAGCAUUUGACAGUGAUUUUGAGGUGAUACCCAGUCAGCUUCAAAAAGGACAAACUGAUGCAGAUGUUCCAUCUGGAUUUCUUGCAAGUGAAAAAGAUAUAAACACAAGAGAAAACAAUGUGGCUAAGAUUAAAGUUGUGGUGCGUUGUUCUUGUUGCAAAACACUCUCCCCAACAUCCCUCUGUGUCUAUGCGUGGAUUUGUGUUUGGGUUUCUUUGUGUAAUUGGUGGGGUACAGAGUAUAUAUUUGGGCUACUGGUUUGUUGAUGGGACAUGGCAUUUAUGUGUGAACAAGAGUGUGAGCUGUCAUUUUGUUUUUGGUUUGGUCUGUAAAUUCAAGACCUGCUAGGAGCUGUGUAAGCCUUCGUAUUGUUGCAAGAGUUGUUGCUUUUGUUCUAUUUUUCUUCUACCAACCAUUUUCUAUGUGGCCUCAGUUUAAGCAUGACAAUGUUGCAUUUGCUGCAGUUCUUCUAUAUGUACACAUGUAUCUUUUAAUGCUUUUUCCAUCAGAAAGUUUAAUUACUAUUUCUUCUUGGGAUGUUGCUAAUGCAAACUUUCUAUGUUCCCAUCUGCUAAGAGAUUGGAAGUAAUAUCUUCAAAUGUGGGUUGCAGUGACAUAUACUUCCUUUUACGCUUCUGUCAUAUGCAAUUGCUGCUCAUGUGUUUAAUCAGAAAAAAGGACACACAUCCAUUUGUUACAAUCCUAAGAGUGUUGUCUACGUAAGUUGGACUGGAUGUCACAUUGAAAAGUUUAUUGUCAUUUCAAUUGUUUGAAAGUUUUGAUUUAGUAUUUGUUGAUCUAUUUUACCUCAUCUUCUGAUGAAGAUAUCCAACAAUCUCAAUACCAUACCAUAAAACUUCUCUUUCUUCCCGAAUUUUUAACUGAAGCAUCCAUAGAACCCUCCAUUUUUUUUUGUGGACACUAAAGAUCCUGUUAUUCCCAUGGAAUUCCCAAUUUGAAGUACAUUCAAACAAAAGGUUGGAAGUUUAUGGAGCUACAACCCCCUCUCUUAUAUUUUUUCUAAUAAAUACUUUUCAUCUACCAUAAGUACAUUGUUUAUGAUGCCUAAUCUUUGGUAGUAUUUCUUAUGAAAUAAGAUAACAUAAAAUUCUUGUACAAUAACAAUUUGCAGCAGAGAUUGAGUUUUAUUGCUGUUUUUAUGUAUACUGAUCUAUUUUGCCACUCUUUGCUGUUCUUGUGACAGGACAUUUCAUCUUAUAUUUUCAUGUUUGUCUUAGGUGCGUAAAAGACCUUUGAACAAGAAGGAAAUUGCUCGUAAAGAAGAUGACAUUGUAACUGUACAUGAGGAUGCUUAUUUGACUGUUCAUGAACCGAAGUUAAAGGUAUAUAUCUCAACCAUUUAAAAAUGAUGGCUUCAUAAUUUUUUACCAUGUCAUAGGAAAUUUAGGAUGAUGAAAGCUGAAUAUAAAAAUCAUGUUUCUUUCAUUUUGCUUUCUAGCCGCAUUAGUUAUGACACUAUCCAUAAUUUUAUUUUGAAGGUUGACUUGACUGCCUACGUUGAGAAGCAUGAGUUUUGUUUUGAUGCUGUUCUGGAUGAGCAUGUGACAAAUGACGAGGUAACACCCUUGAUGUUUGGGUAGCACAAAUUAGCCUUGAAUACUGCAUUGCUCUGAAAUUUCUGUGAAGAGAGUUCCUCUCUCUCUCCCUCUUUUUUUUGGGUUGGAGGGGGGGGGGUUGUAGUAAUUGUGAAUUUGGUUCAUAAAAGAAAAAAAAAAGUCUUUUAUCGUGCCUCUGUGCUGCUGUACUUAGGUGAUUCUCUCUCUCUCUAAUUGUGUGAGUCUUCCUUGGGGGUCAUCUGCGUGUCACUAGUAUGUAUUCUGCAUUUGUAGGCUGGGAAGUAACUGUUUUCAUUUUUGCAUCUUCUGUAAUAUGUCCACUUUUGUUUCUUUGACCCUUGAAGGUUUUAAGCCUUCUUUCUGUCAAUUGGAUCAGGUAUAUCGAGUCACUGUAGAACCAAUUAUUCCUACCAUCUUCCAGCGGACAAAAGCCACAUGUUUUGCAUAUGGCCAGACAGGUACUUUCUGUCUCUUUUGUUGGAUUGUUGGUUAUGAUCUUGUCCAUCGGCAACUUCUUAUGUUAAAAUGGUCUGAAUGACACAUAUUUCCUUACACCACCUCUCCUUAGUCAACUGUUGAGGGUGCAUGAUAGUUAGUUUCCUGUAGUUAUAGUGGUUUUGUGGACCUUUCUCUGAAUCAUUGACUAGUCAUGGGCCUCUGUUCAUUCUAAUCGUGUUAGAUACUACUAAAUUACAUUCUUCUCUCUUUUCCUUUGUGAUUUCUUCAGGGAGUGGCAAGACAUACACAAUGCAGCCAUUACCUCUUAGAGCUGCAGAAGACAUUGUUAGAUUGCUGCAUCAGCCAGUUUAUCGUAAUCAGAGAUUUAAGUUGUGGCUCAGCUUCUUUGAGAUAUAUGGCGGAAAACUUUUUGAUCUUCUCAGUGACAGGAAGUUAGUACUCUCUUUGGCGUUGUUAGGUUUCUUGCUUGAUGCAACAAUCAUGAGAAGUUCUCCAUUUAAGUGCUUGAUAAUGGUGAUGUUUGCUUGUUUUUGGUUACUCAUUUUCUUGUGCAAAUGCAGAAAACUGUGCAUGAGAGAAGAUGGACGACAACAAGUUUGCAUUGUUGGACUACAAGAAUUUGAAGUAUCUGAUGUCCAGAUUGUUAAAGAAUUUAUUGAGAGGGGAAAUGCGGCGAGAAGUACAGGUUCUACUGGUGCCAAUGAGGAAUCGUCGCGGUCACAUGCAAUAUUACAACUUGCUAUCAAAAAGCAUAAUGAGAUUAAAGACUCCAGGAGGAACAAUGACGGAAAUGAAUCCAGGAGCGGGAAGGUUGUUGGGAAGAUUUCUUUCAUUGAUCUUGCUGGUAGCGAGAGAGGUGCUGAUACAACGGACACUGACCGGCAAACACGGUAAUAAUUCCUGAAACUACUUUUGUUUUUUUGCAGAAUAGUGGGAAAUGUGUUUACAAGACUUGUCAUUCAAACCUUCUGCCGCAUGGGCAGGGAGUUGGAUCUCAGCCAUUUCCUCUUGAGUUUGAUCCGAUUUAACAUUCAUUUGGCUUUAUCUUUGACUUACCAAUGAGAAUGCCUUCUUAUUGCCUUGAUUAUGAGUGCCUAAAGUAGUACCUCGUCUUCAGAGAUUAGUUAUUUUUUCUUUGUUAAUUGCUUUCUGGCUAAAUAACGUAUUUUCUUCUCAAAAAAAAGUCUCUUCUUCUCUCUUACUUCUUUUUGAUGCUUCAAACAAAGUGUUUUACUUAGUUGAGCAAUUCUUCUUGUUUGUAUCACGUUAACUCAUUAUGUGCUUAAAAUAAGCUCCACUUUUGCACUCAAACGCUACUUUUAUUCUGUUUAAGGAUUGAAGGAGCAGAAAUUAACAAGAGUCUUUUGGCUCUUAAGGAGUGUAUUCGUGCCUUGGACAAUGACCAGAUCCAUAUUCCUUUUCGUGGGAGCAAACUUACUGAGGUGCUCCGUGACUCCUUUGUCGGCAACUCAAGGACUGUUAUGAUAUCGUGCAUUUCUCCUAAUGCUGGUUCAUGUGAACACACACUCAAUACAUUGAGAUAUGCUGAUAGGUAUCGUCAUCUCUUUGAGAUUUUUUUCCUUUUUUUGUGUGGUGGUGGGUAGGACCAAAUUUGAGUUAUAACAUAACAGUUUACUAUGUCACUAAAGCUCAUCAUAUGAACAGGGUUAAAAGUCUCUCCAAAAGUGGAAAUACAAAAAAGGAUCAGGGUUCAAGUUCAUUACCACCUUCCAGUACUAAGGAAUCCUCAUCAGCACCAUUUUCUUCUUUCUCUGCUGAUGUAGAGGAUUUGGUGGACCAACAUCAGGAAUCUAAAGCAGUGGAUAACAGAAGGGUUGUACAAAAGGAAUUUACUUCUUACAAUUCUUCAAGUGAUGUUGAUAAACAACCUUCUAGUUUUACAUCAAAUUAUACUUCUGGACUGGAGGAAAGUACAGCAACUUCCAGUGCUCCCGACAAGGAGAGGUCUGAUAUGAAAAACAGUCAUGGUGGUUCAAGUCAGAAAAUUAACUUGACAUCAUUUUCCCAAAUUGCAGCUGAUACAGAAGAGAAAGUGCAGAAAGUUUCUCCUCCACGUCGAAAGGUGUAUCCUCAGAUUCCAGUCGAUACAGAAGAGAAAGUGCAGAAAGUGUCUCCUCCCCGUCGGAAAACAUAUAGGGAUGAAAGGCCCGAAAAACUGGGAAAUUGGCCAAGAAAAGAUGCUGCUAAUUUUGAUUCGUCGUCUAGCUAUAAACAACAAAAUGUGAAUAUUGCCGACACAAAUGGUGUUGGGUCUAAGCAAUAUGAGCCUGAGCAACCUCAUGAAGAUAGUAUCAAUGAGAUACUUGAGGUUGGUUUCUGUUGUGUGCUUAAGCAAACUCCUUGUGCAUGUUGAGUAGUUUUUUCUAGUAGAUGCUGAAAUGGUAGUUUCACUGUUUUGAUUGUGAAGGAAGAAGAGGCCCUCAUUGCUGCCCAUAGAAAGGAAAUUGAAGACACAAUGGAGAUUGUUCGUGAAGUAAGUGUACUUUCCAUGCUGCUUCUGACUUAUGCUUGCACCUCGUGGAUUCUUAUAGUGUAAAAUAGUAACUUUACUGAGCGCAUAUGCCAGUUGAAAUGUCUGGGUGUGAAAGAAAGGUUUGAUCUUUGUAGAGAGAUGCUUGUUAGUGCCACUGCUUAUCAGCCUAACUUGUGCUCCUGAUUUCAGGAAAUGAAACUACUCGCGGAGGUGGAUCAACCCGGAAGCCUAAUUGAUAAUUACGUGACACAGUUGAGUUUUGUGCUUUCACGUAAAGCAGCAAGUCUGGUCAGCCUACAGGCUCGUCUUGCCAGAUUCCAACAUCGUCUGAAGGAACAAGAAAUAUUGAGUAGAAAGCGGGUGCAUCGCUAAGGGGUAAAUAUCUUGUAAAUGUCAUGACCCGCAUCUACUUUAUAUCCACUGACUUUUGCAUGUCACAAUUUGGUACAGCUGAAAAGUACUUGUCAAAUAUGUAUCAAUGUGGACAUUUAUGAUUGUCAAGAAUGGCAUCAGCAGUGCAGUUGCAUCAUGCACUUGGAUAAACCACAAGAUCUUCGAAAGUUGCCUAGUGCACUGGUUGCAGAGGACGGAGUGACGUGGUCAUUGCAAUGUUGAGACGUUUAUAGGCUUUGUUGUAACUCAAGUUGUAUAAGCUGAGGCUUAACAUUCAGAAUUGCUGGCUCAAACAAUGAUGCAAGAAAUCAUAUUCGUAGGUGGUGUUGGUUGUAUAGAGAAUGUAUUCCAAAAUGAGUGAUGUCUUCUUUCGUUGGUGGGUUUAUGGGACUUCUUGUUUGAUGAUUGUUGAAAUGAUUUGGAGACGUACGCUUUGUACUGAAAGGGAUAAUCUUCUCAUUUUUCGGGAGUAUACUUCACUCUUUACCCACUUCCAAAUCCUUUAUUUCCCCUCCGUUUAUGUUUACUAAGAGCCUGUUGACAGAAGAAUCUCGUCUCGUUUAUACCCGUAGCGAAAAGAGGGCUUGUGAAGCACUAAAUCUGAUUUGCGAGUUGGAAUACAGGUGUAGACGUAUUUUUUGUUUUAAGCCAUAAAACUCGGUAACGUCCCAAUCCCUGUUUGGAUCCAACCGCACCCAAACAGCUACAGGCGAUCUGUCAGCAGACGGGGGAGGGAAAGGAAAGAUAUGAAUGCGCAAAAAAUCCCUCCGUAAAUGAAUGCAAGUAUACGGGGAAAAACAGACAAGAUUAACAAUAUGGAGACCUGAUCCUGCAGUAUACAUGCCUUCACAUUCUAAGCCAAAAAAAAAAAAUUGGUGCAGACCACUAUAGAAUCAAUCCAAUUUCCUAGUGAAACAAGGGCCCCAGAGAUUACAUCUCCGAUGAAGGUAACCUUUACUCGGCGCACCAAUAAUAGGCAGUCACUCAGAGAAGAUGACCAGCAUCAAAACCACAAGCUCCCAAACAAAACCAUACCAGGAAAAGAAAAAAACCAAAAAAAAAAAAAACUUGAUAGCUGUCCAUUUGCCUCACGUGUGGGGAAAAAGGUUACCAAACUCUUGGGCAAAGAUAAAAUGCCACGUCACUCGUACCAGGAUGUCAAGUGAUGUCAUUUUUUUGUUUUAAUCUGUUCAUUCCUCGUUCUCCAGCAUUUUCAUGCAUAUCCAUGAUCUGUCAAUUAGCAAAUAUACAGCAUCCAGAAUGAUCACUCAGCUUUUGACCUCAAAAUCUCUAAAGCGGUCCUCAGCCUAAAGUAUGGCAUGUGUUCCUACAGGCAAGAAGAAAACACAAGUUAGAAAGAAGAGCCCUUUCAAUCUAAAGCUAAAGCAGCAACUACGACAUUUGGAGAUAUUAAAAGCAGUAAUGAAUAACAUGCUUAAGUCCCUAGUAAACCUCGUCUCCCCCACCCAUACCUCGAUCUUUGACAUACAGAUGCACAGAAUAACGAAAAAGCUUAAUAGACAGAGAAAGCUCAAUAGACAGACAGAUUACAAAUUACCAAACAAUCAAGACAACCUGUUCUGACAUUAACCACUGGGUAAACAUGGCAGCUAAAGGCAUCAACUAAGCUUCAGAAAUUUCCAUGAAAUGCUGUCCAAUCCUACUAAUGUUACAAUAAUACACAACCAAAUCUGCUAAUGGUACAACCGGAAGUAAUAAACACUAUUUUCACUUUGUUUUUUCUUUGGCCCAUGAUAACUCUGUCCUUUCUAGUUAAUUAUCUCACCAAUUCAGUGUCAGCUAACUCUCAUCUGACAUAACAUACACCCCUGAUCCCUUCAUAAACAGACGACAUACAACUAGAGACAUGAAUGCUCCAUGGAAUAAUAUGUUAUGGCUAUCUCAACACCGAACUACGACAGCAUCACAGAGAGAAGAUAUUUAAUACACUGCAGUUUAUAAACAAUCUGCACAUGCCUCCUUCUGAUGUUCUGCAAUUCUAAACUAAAAUCUCCUUCAGAAUCUGAAGUAUCCAACAAAUUCAAAUAAGAAAGAAUGACGAAAUCCUGUAAAGUCAAGCUAAUCGCAGGCUCAAGAAGAUUUAAAAGACAUAAAUAAACCAUAUCUCUCAGGUUGUGCAUUUACCUGAUUAAAACAGAGUCCAAUAUCUCUACUGUAAAAGUCGGCAUAUUUGAUCAUAAACACACCGCAGUCGAAUCUGCUCAUAACACAGACAAAAACCUUUUUUUAUUGAACAAUUCAUAAAGAAAAAUGGAGAAGAAUUCUUAAUUUCGCUUGUACAGUAAUAAUAGAGCUAAAUGAAAUCAAUCUUUUUGCACCAGUGACAAAACAGAGGGACAAUCAUUUAAGCUCAUACCACAUGAGCAAACCACAACAAUUAACAACAGAAAGUGAACAGCAUCCCAAAGGUAAAUGGCAGAAAAGACUAAUCAGGUAUCCUGUGAAAGUGAUGAUGACUGCCAUUUCACACGAUCUAUAUUGCAAUAACAAAAGUCGAAAUUGGGCUAAGAAUGAAGAAGAUGACAAAGAGGAGAUUCACUAACCAAAGACAGGAUAUAGUAGGCGUUUUAACCGCCCACAUUUUAACCUCUAACCUCCCACAUUUUAACCUCAAAUUAUAAUUGGUGCUUAUAAGCAAUUUAACAGAGAGCACACAUAGAUAUGAUGUCAAAUAUCUAUCCAAAUAUCACUAGAUGCACGAGGCAAAUUUAUUUCAUAUACCUGCUGCUAUUGGUGAGGGUGGGAAGGGCCAGAAUUUUGCUAACUUUCAUACACAUAAAGGGCUAUGUAUUAGGCUAUUAGCAGUUUACAAGGAAUGUUUUCCUAGACAUAAGAUAAAUCACUAAAUGAUAUGGAUAUUAGCUUAGAACUAUUUCUCGGGUUGAAACCAUUUUGCAAGCAGAAAUUUGACCAAAAAGAAACUUCAGUACCCAUUCUCCUGUUCUGGAAGGUCCGCAACAAAUUCUUGCUGCCAGGAACUAACAUCAAUCCCUUUGCCACACUUGUCCUUGACUUCAUCUACAAUGUAUCUAGCCUGGAGAUAUAAAUAUAAAAAAACUGGCUUCAUCACCACAUAGCACUAUGAGUUAAACACCAAAACUUUUGUCUUCUUUCUUUAUGUAUCAGGAACAUUCUUUUACUUCUUUAUAAUGAAAGAAAAAAAAAAAUUUAAAUCAAUCAUAGGAACAAUUGAAGAAUUGCAGCUAACAUGUAGACAACAAUAUGGGACAUUUCGUUUUGGAUUUCUUAAACUAGUGAAAGCAAGGCCCAUUAUGACUCUGUUUGAAGACCAUAUAAGUGAGUCAACUCCUCUGACAACUUUAUCAACCCUGUAAUUGAGGACUCAAAGCACUUUAAAAAAAAAAAAAAAAAAAGCUUACCAGUACUUUAAUCACUUGACUAUCAACUCCACCAAGCGAAUCAAGAUACUGAAACUUUUCAUCCUUCUUGUUGAUGACUGCUAAGCACCAAUGGACUUCUUUGUGAAUUGGUACAAAAAUCUGAAUAAUUUAGAAACAUCAUCUAACUUUAAACUAAGCCAAGGGAUCAAAUCCAGCACUCCACAAAAACAACCUAAGGAUCUAAGGAUCCUACCUUAUCACAAUCAAAGAUACAAUAUCCAAGCUUCUUUUGGGAAGUCCAUCUCCGAACCGAUUGAUAGUUAUAUCCACCCUUUCCACUAACUAGCUGCAAUUUCAAAUGUCACCCAAAAAACUGAUUGAGGCAUAGAAGACAAAAAAAGUUCUUAAAUCUAAGGAUAACCUAUCAAAUCACAUCAUAUAUCAAACUCAUGACCUCACAAUUCUUUCAAAUGAAUAAGUUGCAAUUCUACAACAACUUCACGCAAAAAUUUUCCUAGUAAAGCAGAAAGCAUUCUCAAAAAAAAAAAAAAAACUAGAAACCAUCACAAAGUAGGUUUAGUUGAUUGAUUGAAUCCACCUAGAUCUCAGCGAAGCAUGCACCGUAUAUUUAAAAAGCAACAGGAGUCCAAUUUCUAGAAUUUCAUUAACUUGAUUUGACCAACAAAUUGGAAAUCCUUAACAUGCAGAGAAUUUGAGAAUGACAGGGCAUAUGUUACUUAGCAGUCAAUAUUUAACAUCAGCAAGAUUUCCAUCCUUAGUAUUAUAUUCACCUUACAAAAACACAAACAAUUUUUCUUUCAAGCUUAUCCAUCUUUCCACACUUCUAUGCAUGUACUAUGUAAUAGGAAAACUCAUAAUUGCAAUAGAAGUCUUCAUGCCCAGGGCCCCAGGCCUCCAAUGCUUCCCAAAAAGUGUACAGUUUAAGUUCUCCAAUCUCAUAGAUGCUAAAAAAUGCUGGUAAAAAUCUAGAAGACUGAUAUUCAAAUUCCAAACUUAGCCUUUUACUCUAAUUUUCUAUUUUGUAAGUUUUGAAGCAAAUUGCAUGAAAUGUUGACAAAUGGGUACAAUAACACAUUCAAGUCUAAGCCCUAAAAGAACCAAUACAUAUAGAAGUUAUUACAACCAAUCAACCUUUUCUUGCCUAAAUGCGGAAAAGAGAGCUCACUGACCUUUUUGAAAAAGAAAGUGUUAAAGAAAUGGCAAUUCAAGAAUUUUUUAGGCUCCCUUCUCUCCCUUUCUUUUAAAAGCUCAAGAUAUAAAUUGAUAACCUGCAAAAGAAGAAAGCCCAUUUACAGAGGGAAAAACCUUUGUCAAAUGCUUGUGCUAACUCGAUAAGAAGUCUUUUCACCAAGUUCAUGGAAGCUGACAAAAAAGCAAAGUUCACCUCAUCAUUCAACCAUGCACGUGGUCUCAAGCACUGCAAAACUUCUCCUGUUAUACUAAUAUUUGAAUUUUCAUGGGUCACCAAAAGCUUCCUCCUGUACGUAAACCACAGAAUAGAAAUAAAAUGAUAACAGCAGCAUAAAAUGGACCAAUAUGGAGCCAUUUAAAGGCAAACAAAGACAGCAUUGACUCAUACCGACUGGAAUUAGAAAGAGCACGGUUAACCUCAGUCUCUUCUUCCUCAGUAAGAGGCUUAAAAGCUUCUGCUGUCACAUCCUGCAAUCAAAUGCAAGCAAAGUAAGCAAAAAUAAAUAAAUAAAUAUACACAGCAAGAAAAUUCCAUACUUUCAUGGCUCAAAAAGAUUACCUUCUUAGCAGCUUCUUCUUUCUUCUGGGGACGCAAUAACUGUUGUAGCUGCAAUUGCUUCUCAGUAUAUUCAAUCUGAAAAUUCAACGAGUUAAUUUUAUCAUUCCUCCUCUCUGCAACAUAUAACAAUUUCUUGUGCACGCUUUCUUGUGGAACGCCCAACUCCUGACUUAACGACAAAGACGCCAGCAACUUCUAUGCACCCAUUUUAUGACAAGGGAAUCUGCCUCCUCUGGGUUUAAGGCCUUACGCUUGCAAAGAGUUCUGAGUGCCUUUACAUGAGCAUUAACCUGUCAAAGUUUGAAAGCUGCUUAGACAUGUGCCAAAGAUGUCAUACAGCAACCGGAGAAUAAAGAACAUGCAACUCAUUGUUUUCCAAGCCAAGGCAGGUAAGGGAUAAAAAUAAGCAUAUGAACCACAUUUAUGCAGCUUUCUGGCCUUCCAUACAUACUCUUUUUGACAGUGAAUGAAACCUAAUUGAGUGAAAAUGCUCAUGCUUUAUUGUAGUGAAACUAUCGAGAAGAUUAUCAAUAAAUAUCAAAAGUCUUCUUCGGAUGUGCUGUUUAAUUAACCAAGUAAAAUCUCAUGUCUUUUACAACUCUUGAGGCCAUUCAACAGAAAAAUUUAGGACAGGAAAUGCAUUUUAAAGAAUAGAAGACAAUACUGAUGGAAUUGAUAGAACAAAAUACAGUAGUGUUUGAUAGAUACCUCAGUUGAAUGCAUGUUGAACUCCUCAAGUCGCUUGAGAAAGUUAUGAGCUAGAUCAGCAGCAGGUUCAGGAGGCAGCUUCACAGAAACAUUAGAGAUUGUUUGCAAGAGGAAGACACGGUCCCCUGCCCAAGCAACCGAAUUAGGUUCUAUGUCCAUUUCCUCAUUGCCAUCUCUUUUUUCGUGUGGGCUCCUAAGCUCACCAGCAGGUUCAUACUUGUCCACGAGCUGCCAAUGAUGAUGGAGGAAUUCCCACUCCACCUCCUUUGGAAGGAAUGCUGACACCUCUGAUAACAGAAGCCAGGCACCUGGAGGUGCUGUCCACUUCUCGAUUGGCAUAGAAUGACUCAACCACAGGGAUUCAGACGCCCUUAUGAUAUUCUGGAGGGCUGUAGCAAUCUUGGGCUUGAGCCUUUUUUUCUUUCCUAAGCUUGUACAGAUCUUCUUCACCCAAGAAGUCACCUCUGCAUCACAAGUCUCUUUUAGUAUACACAAAACUCCCUCAGGACAUAACAACUCAAUUUCUCUAUCCAAAAUCCUUGACUUUCCAUUUGACUUAUCCGUGAAAGAAUGAUGAUGGGAUGUGGUAUCUGAUGGAACCUUAGAUACUCGAUCAAGAACAAGUUCUGAAAACAGGCUCUCACAUUCUUCUUGGAUGCUAGAUUCAUUGUCAGCUAUUAAAGGUGGAACAGAAUGUAGCCACUCUUUAGUUACGUUUGUAUCACAGAAUAAUCUAAAGGCCUACACAGCAAUACACAUGUCAAGAUAUGAUUGAGGAAUUACAAAUCCAGCUAAUUCAAUGUGCAGUAAAGAAAAUGCAUCUGAAACUAUUAUAGCAUCCAAGGAAGAAAAGGAUUAAUACAGCCAAUAACAACUUGGGAGAAAAGAGUGGCAGAAUAGUUUGCUUUGUAUGAGGCAUGCAGUACCAAUGGUUGCAAAAUGCUUUACCCUGGGGCUUUAUCUUUUAUCAUAUCUCAUUGGAAGGGAAAUCUAAAGAAUAAAUCACAAAAAGGUGCUUUAGGAACUGCAAAAUCAUGCACGUGAAUAUGGAUAACUGAAAAGGCAUUUCAGGCAUGUUAAUAUGACAAAUUGUAUUUGCAAAUCUAGGUAAUAGAGCAAAGUAUGCAAUUGGAUUCUUCCUAGACAACAACUUUAGAUAAGCAAAACAAAUAAAAUAAAGAUCAAUCAAAUAUAUUUUCAAGGUAAGCUAAUGAACCUCUGAAAGAGCUGAUAUUGCUGCUUUCCGUAUACUAACAAGGGGGUCAGAACAAGCCAUGCCCACGAUCUUCAGCAAUUCUCCAUCAAGAGCACCUCUUAAAAGUACUGUUAACUUGGAGAUCAGAAAAAGAGCCGCCUUCCUGACUGCAGCCUUCUCAUCCAUACACCGUUUCAGCAAGAGAUCAUUCAUCCUACAUUUCGUGCUACUCAAGCCCUCAUUCCCAAACCCCAUCACUUCCUUCAACAAUGUCCUGCUCCUAUUAUUCCCAGAGAAAAAUCCUACAACUUGAGCUAAAUUAGUUAAGGCCCUCGCUUUAAUCCCAGCGGUAACAUCUGAGCAACGCUCAAUUAAUGUCUCCAAACAAGUCAAACCCCACAAGUUCUCAACUUUAUCACCUGAAUCCAAUCCCAAGGGGUCUCUCAAUGUCGUCAUCAACAUAAGAAUUAGGUCAACGGACAGAAGCCUAAAUUGACCUUUUCCUUGGCUCAUCUUGACUACAUAAUGUGUAAAUUCAACUUGAUCCUCAAACGCCAAAACUUUAACAAUCUCCAUUAUAGAUUCCACAGCCAAAGCCCUUGGCUCAGCCUUUUCCGGGGCCUUAUGCACCAAGUACUUGGGCAAAUUGACAACUGCUUUCUUAAUCUGACUCGAAUGGUUAGCCAAUCUCAUCAUUCUAUUCACCACAAACUGCAAUCCAAAACUCCUAGCCUGUGAUUUAGGAAGAAACAUCAAAGGUGUCAAACACUUCAAAACUUCAGCUGCAGAAACUGUCUGAUCCGCAUGCUCAGCUUUAAGCACUUCAUUCAAAAUCUGAGAACUCAGCUCGCAUAACUUUUCAUAACUCCCUGAACUCCUACAAACCUCAACUGCCACAACAGGAAUCUCAGCCACUGUCUGAACCAAACUCCUCAAACUAUCCGGAAACCUAUCCAAAUGAACCAAGCCCAACACUAAUUCCAACCUCUCCAGAACACUAAAAAACACCCUCGCCUCAAUAACUCCCUCUUCACCGUCAUUUUCACUCUCUUCCACCAGUUUUCCCUUAUUUUUCCCCACCCCUAGCCUCCCUCCACCGCGCUUUUUUCUACCCCGAUUUUCACCCCCAGGACCGUCAUUAGAAACCAGAGAUGGGUUCUUGAAAGCCCAACGAAUCGACCGCAACAGUGACACAAAAGCCAUGGGAGUGAACAGAGUUAAAACAGGAGAAUUAGGGGAUAAAAGCAAAGAAAGGUAAACAUUUGAGGCUAAAAGGGAAAGAGUACUUCUUGUGGGUCCGGUAGAAUCCAUGAGGGAGGAAAUGGAACUGGUUAAUGAAGUUAAAGAGAGGUUUCUUGAAGAAAUUUCAGCAUAAAAAGAUUCAAGAUCUGUUGAAUCAUUGGUUCUGAGUGUGUAAUCCAGAAGGGUUUGAAGGUCCUUGAGAGAAAUUGCUGAAAGGGGAUUUUGGGCUUCCAGUUCUGCAAGAAUUCUGUUGAUGGAUUCUUCAUCCAUGGUUGAAUUGAUCGACUUUGGGCUCUGGAGAUUGAAGGGUUCUGCUGCUCUAUCUAUUACUGAGGUCCAUGACUCGGUCGUUCUUCAAGAUUGCAACUUUCAUCUUCAUUUCUACGCUGACGGCUUCAAAUUUUUUGGCUUUCCCGCUCUAACAUUGGGAUAAAUACUGCUCUAUACAACAUUAACAACGGCUUUUCGUAGUGUCUAAAGUACUCGAGACAGCGCUCACUUAGAGGCACGGUUUCAAGCUUCUGAGCUGCCUUUUUGUGGUCUCGAAUGUACUCUAGAAAGCGCUUAGUUACCAGCACGGUUUCAAUCUCAGGAGCGGGAGGGACAAGGGAUUUACUAGAGUCUCUUUUUACGGUACUACGCUACUUGCUGCAUGGGCUUAAAAGUUCUACUUGGAUCUAGCUUUUCCGGUGGAAAAAUAAUUUAUACCUGAAAAAUAUUUUGAUGACAAAAUUUCAUAUGCAAAAGUAUUAGAGUAAUUUAUACAGACAAUGUAUACACUAUUAUGAUUAGUUAUAUGAUAUAUCUGUAAAAUUUGAGUUUCAAAUUUAUAUUCGAAUUAUGUGUCGGACAUCCAUUGAUAAAAGUAUAUGCACUGUCAGUAUAUAGAAGAUUAAUAUAAAAUAUUAUACUCCACUUUUGUAAAGUUCCUUUGAAGAAUGAUUUAGGAAAAAAACACUGAUUAUGUAAAACAAAUAGCAUUUCAUGGCAUGCAAGAUUUACAUAUUCCUAGUUUAGGUCAAUUAGAGAGUUGCAAUGUCCAUGGCCUGAUUUCACAGCUAAACAAAUAGCACCACCGUUGAGAAUUGAUCCUUUCAACUCCGGAAAUUUUCAGAAGGAUUCGAAAAAUAUCGAGCAAUAAUGAAAACUAUUUAGCUAUAUUUUCUUUUGGUUAACUAUAUUUUCUUUUGGUUGCAGAAUGUGGAUCACAACAUGAACCAUAAGAUUACACAAAUCUAGAGUUUAUAAUCAACAACAUACAGCUUAUUAUAUGGAAUGUGAGUUUAGAACCAACAAUCUGCAACUUCUUCUCUCCAUGUUACAUUUUCUAUAUUGAGCACUUUUGUGUUUCUCAACUCAAACACACACACACACACACAAGGGCAAAAGGAAAAAGGUUGGUCUGGUAGGUAUACACCUCCUCAUUAAAUGCAAUUACCCACCUCAUUACAAAGCCUGGGAUUCGUCCUUAACACUAUAUAUACUGCUAAUAAUAUGAUUAACAUCUGUAAGUGAAUGAGAAAAACAUCUCAUAAAUAUCUCACUCUCUUUCCUUUUCCUAAAUCGUGCUUAUUCUCAUAGAGUCUUCAUUAUUUUUUACUCCAAGCCUUUGAUUUGACGAAUGAAUUAACCAGGUUCAACCAGUGUCUCUACUGGAGGAAAGCCUGAUGAGGAUACUAACGCUGGACUGCAAGACAAUGCUCCAGCUGAUUCCUAUUCACUAGCAAAUUCUCUGCCAUAACAGAGACAGCAAAGCUGCUAGAUCUUUGGCCAAACAUCCUUCCAAUUUAUUUUAUUCUGUAAUUGCUUCCACUUUAAGGGUAUAUUAAUUAAUAAUCCCCCUUAUUGUGGUUUGCAUAUUUUCAAAAUGGAAGCAGAUAUUUUGGUUGUAAACGGCUGACUGGGAUAUAAACCUUCUAGCUAGUAAUGAUACGAUAUUCCUCCCUAGUUUUUGACCAAAGCGUGCUUAACUAGGUAUGAUAUCUAUCUAGCUCGGAACUUUUCACUUAUCUUGAACAAUCGCAUCAUUAACGUUCUCUUCCUACCCAAGCAUAUAAUUUUGAGUCUUUGACGAACUUACACACAGAAAUGUCCAACAUCCCUAUAAUAUUAGGCUACAUGACAAUGAGGUUGGCUAAUACUUGUAUGCUGUAGCCAUCUUUUGGCUUCUUUUUACAAGUAUCAUGAUCCAACCUUGAAAAUAAAGCUGUACAUGCCGAUAAAAGUGACAUUGAAAUCCAAAACUGUAAUGCAAAUAAAGCUACAUGACUGACUUUUGCUAUCAACUGACUAUAUCUACUUGCCAUAUCGCCCCUAUGAGAUGAGAUAUAUGCCUUACUCGGCCGCACCUAAAAAUCAAAGUAUAUCCCUGCAAGACUCAGAAAUGAUGCAAUAUGUGUACAGUCUACAGACAGAUUAAGGAACGCAAAAAGUCCAAUAAACAUAUUGUAGAAAAUAUUGGAUUGUAUUCUUUCCUUGAUACAGCUCACCACCAGCUGGUAUAGACAAGGAAAACCAUUUAUUACACGCAUGCAUAAUACUUAAAGGAACUCAAGGAAUGUCUCGCAACAACACAAACAUAAAACAAAGCAGUCGAAACAUGACUGGAUUAAGAAAACAAAGUCUUCUGGAAAAUUCCCAUAGACCAAACUAGGUUUGGUUGCCCGAUAUCCAGGGUUAUUAAUGGUUUCUGCAUGAUAAGCUUCACAGGAAGUGUAUCAUUCUUGGAGCAUCUGCAUCUUCUGGAUUCGCAGCCUCACUGGGAUUACCGCCAUAGUCGCCGGUAGAGGGAAAAAGAGGCGGCGGCUGCUCCAUGUUAAGCUCCACAUGAUGAUCAGCAGAAGUAGUGCAGCCUCUGCCCUGACUGAACACCGAUGGCUCUGGUCCAGCUAGGUUCAGCUCAUGGCGAGGAACCCAAUAUGGUCCUCCUCUACUGGCUAACACAACCUCCAUCAAUGGAGAUGGCGGAUUGCCCCCGUGCAAAAUGGGGUACGUCGCCAGACUUGGAUGAAAAUGAGGUCUGCCAACAGAAGGAUCAGACCUUACAAAUAUAUAAUCAAUUUUCUUCAUAAUUAUAUGCUUAAUUAUAUCAAAAUACUAGUUGUAAUUACAGACAUGCAUAUAUUGAUGUACGAAUAUUUAGUAGCAGUAUCGGUUAACACUCAACAGUAGGUAUUAAAUACGUGGAAUUCACUUAAAAAAACAUGGAUUUGAAUGACGGAUCAUCCGAUAACAAGAAAAAGGUUUUUACUCAUUUGGAUAUCGAUCUCGGACAUGCAUUUAGUUAAUCAUGUAACAAGCUGGCAGAAUAUUUAACUUGCUACUAAAAACAAAAAAAGUAGAACUUACCCAAUGGGGACAAGAGCAGCAGGGGGCCUAUAGUUGACGACAUUGUUGGCAAGGCCAAUUGCAGCAUCAUUAAUAUUGCUUGCAUGGAGAGGGGUGGAGGGUGGUGCCAGCCGUGCUAGUGUCAAGGGGAAAUAGUUAUGCUGGUGGACACCGACGUCGGGGAAACCAACGUUGCUGCUAUUGCCUGCAUAUUCAUGACAUGUUCGAACAAACAUCUCGUUUUUUUUUUUUUAAGGAUUAAUAAAAUGAAAAUAAACCUUUUUUUUUUUGCCGAAAGAAGAACUUACCUCCAACUUGGAGUGCCCCUGUUGGCCUGCCAAACGUAGAAGAAUGAUAUCAAUAGUAUAUGCUAAGCGAAUUUCAUGUCUCUAUCUAUCAUGGGAAUAAAAUUCCGGGUUAAUUAUAUGUCAAUUUAUUUGCUUGGCCCUCCUUGAAAUUAUAUGUCAAUUUAGUGGAGACGCUUAGGUUCAAUUUGGCAUUGAAAUAGUUCAGAUGCAUACAGGCCUAAAAUUUGAAAAAUAUUUUGAAGAAUAAAAAAUGUUAACUUAGAAGUAAUAAGCUUGAAAAGCACUCACCCCCCCCCCCCCAAAACAAAACUCUUCACAAACUAUAUCUAACUUCAACAAGUAACAUCUCUGAGAAAAAUGAAGAAGGUAUGUAAACGAAGAUUUCAACGUCAAAUGCUUAAUUUUUGAUAGAAAGGGAAAGGAUCAAAAUCUUAAAGGCAGGAAGCUCUCAAGUAAAGUGUUCACCUGUAAACUCGUAAAGGCCAUGCAUCAUCACCGUCGUCGGGCCCUGGGCAGUGAGGAUGCCCAUGUAGACACUGAAAAAAGUUUUGGUUCUGGUAAUUGUGAUCCUGCUCCUGCUCCUGGUCCUGGUCAUGGAGAAUUCAAGUACCACAGUUAGUAAUCGCUGAAGUAUAAUGCAUAAGAUGUAUGAUUAUUAUCGUCUAGUGAUUGGCAUUUUUUUUUAACUAUCUAAGCGGGAAAUCUGAAUAGCAGAGUUGCUCACAUUCUUUCUUUGUACUAAGGGGUACAGAACCUCUACAUGGCUACUAAAGCAGCAUGGCCAUGCAACUGAAUUACUAGUAAAUUUGUCUGGCUUUAAUUAUCUGUAUAAAUUUACUCUGAAUUAACAUAGCAAGAAUUAUUAUAGUUCUAUUGUUAGCAUAUAUAAACGGAUGUUACAGUAAAAUUGCUCUUAAAUUAUGGCUAGAUCUUCUGUGUUAAUUGCCGAUAACGGCACUGCCAGUCAUCUUCACUGGAUUUGCAAUGUAUAGCAGCUACCAUUAUCAUUAAACCAUUCUAGUUUGCAGGACAAAGCACAAGCAAUAGUCCAUAGGGCGAAACCUAUCUAGUUUUUGCUUUAUAUCUGUCUUGGGUUUCAAAAAAUUUUCCCUUGCAUUCUCCUGGCCUCCGUCUGUACUGCCUAUUCUUACAAGUCACAAGCCUAAUCUAGCGGACAGCAAAUUAUUUGACGUUAAUUGUACUCUUCACCUUAGCACAACAUGAACUGAAAAAAAGAUUUAAAGACAUAUAAAUGGUAUUACCGCAUCUGCAUUGCUGGUCUCCUCAUCACUCUCUUCAGCAAUGACAUCAAGCAUAGGAUCUUCAUCAAUGGUAUCAAGCCCAGGAGCUUCCAUGCUGUACAACCAAUCGCUGGUCUCCAUCGACCUGCAGUUGGGGCAUUGCAUUGCACCCCUGGCGUUAAACUCGCAUCCAAUGCAUGCUGCAAGAGACAAACAAAAAAUUGUUAAAACAACAAGUUUAAAUCACUUGCAGGUAGAAAAAAGAAGUAGAAAUAACAAAAAAUAAAAAAUAAAAGGAGGAAGUUCGAGAUUAUGGUAAAAGUUAUGAUGCCACUAACAUGAGAUCAGGAAAAACUAGACAUGUACAGGACAUUUUUUGUUUGCUCACUCUCUUCUAAGAGGUAUUCAUGGAUUCUCAAACUUAAACGGCUUAUAUAUCACCAGUUUAAGCCGAAACAUUCUUAUGACUUUGUAAAGAGCAAAAGUUGAUAAAUAAAAUAUUUUUUUGGAGAUCAAGCAAAAUAAAUAUUUACAACAGUGUGGACUCGCCAAUUUGCCCAUUGAAUCAAUUGUACUUUUUAUUCCUUUACUUAUUUUGGUAGCUGACACCUGCUAGUUCUAGUAGAAAAGUCACAAUUGUUUGUGGACAUGAAAUUCUGGAUGGGGAAAAAGAUAUAUAAUACGGUCUGAUCUUCAACAAAUCAUAAAAGGACUCUAUUUACUCCCCAACAGAUGAAUCAUCAAAACCCUCUUUUAAAUAUGACGCAGAAAAGAAAAGAAUGCAGUACAAGUUUCGAACUCCUAUGUAUGAUAACAUAACAAAACAUACCUUUGAGCUUAAUUCUAAGUGAAAGUACCUAUCCAAGAAUUAUUCUAUAGACUAAACUAGAUUUUGUAAUGUCAGUAAAUAACUGUAAAAGCUACAUGAGGAAUUACUGAUUUAGAUGUAUGUACGACGGCGCAAAAUUGUCUUCCCCUUUUCUUGCUUUGAUGUAAAUUCAGAUUUAUAUAUGUAAACCAACUUUUUCGAUCCACUUGUAAGGUAAAUUAUACCAUUUACCAUUGAAGUUUAUUUUUUGGUUUUAACUAUACACUGGCCGGUAUGCUUAAUCUUGCCCACAAGUUCUUCGAAAAAUUGGAAAUAACCAAUUGAAGUAUUUUUUUUCCACAACAAAAAUUAAUUCAUUAGAUGAAAAAAUGGCACGAAUAUUAUCCGAGGAAUGUGGCUAAGCAUAUGAAAUUCUCUAUCCGGGGAAAAGAUAAUACAGUCAAUCAGGCAAUAAGUAUUCAUAAUAUAUGCCCCGGUAUAGAAAAAUCGUCAAAACCCUUUUUAUCUUUAAGAUGUUAUAAAGUAAAAAUAUAAAGAAAACACUUUCUAACUCCUAUAUAUAUUCGUGAUAACAUAAACCGAUAUACCCUUGGGAUUGAAUAUAAGAGAGUAUCUACCCCCAAGUUCUUUUAUUUUAUAGACUUCAUUAGUUUUUGUCAUAAGUAAUUAAAGAACUGUAAAAAUUGCACCCACAAAUCAGAGAAGAAAAUGGAAUAAAAGAUUUAUAACCAAGUAUAAUGGUGCAAAAUCGUCUCCCCUUAUCUUGCUUUCAUGUAAAUUCAGAUUCAUUUAGGUAGACGGAAUUUCUGUGUGUACUUGAGAGGUGAUCUAUGCCAUUUGACGUUGUAUUUUUUUUUCCCCCCCGCUAGAACAAGGAUAACCCAUUAAACAAAAAAAAAAUUAAAAAAAAGGUCAUAAACUCAAAUCAGACAGAAAAACACCAAAGAGAAAGGAAGCAUCCGAGAUCAAAGAAUCCUUCUAAGAGAGACAGGUACGAACACUGAAUAUAAAUCAAAGGACAAACAAAAAGAAAAGAUAGAGAGAAAGAGCGAGAUAGCUAUACGUAACUUCUAGGGUGAAAAAACUAAUAAGACCAAGACUUUGGACAAUUCAAUCUCAGGCAAUAUAUCACGUAUGGAGAUAAUCAAUAAUCAAGCAAAUGAAAAGAGCAACAUUAGGAAAUCCACUUAAAACCUACACAAAUGAAAUGUGUGGCCACAUUUCAGCUUAGCAAUGGCUCGGGAGUUAUUGUCGACCACGUCCUCCAAGCAAAUUGAACACUCUCCGAUGAAUGGAGUUUCCUGUGCAGCAGAAGAAACCUGACUUCUGGAACCCAUAACUCUUAAUCUCACAGGCACUUGUUGCUCUCACUCUACACAGUAUAUCUUAACAGAUAUUAGACCCAAUAAUAUUUGCUUGUAUAUAUAGAAGAGAUUAGCAGGUUCAUGAACUAUUUUAUUCGUUGUCAAGUAUAUCCACCUGGGCUUCGGUGUGGAAUGGCUCCUUGUCAUAAAUGAUUCUGUUAAUAUGGAAAGUAAAUAAUAAUGGUUACCAUAUUUCCAAAAAGCAAAAUCAAAUUACAAUGUACUUUUGAACUAGAGUAACAUUGGCCCUCUAAACUUUUACAUGUAACAGUUUGACCACCAAAACAUCAACUCUAACAUUUGAGACAAAAACUCCCCACCUAUUCUGCCUCUCUCCCUAACGCUAUGUAUGUUGAGCUUACAAAGGAACAUAUAGUAUAGAAGGGCGCCCUUUUUUCAUUAGUAAAAACUCAAGGGGCGAAUGUAACAUUACCCAAAAGAUACAAGAGAAAUAUGAAUUUUCUUAAAGAACUGAUGCACCCCUCUACUCGUUUUACUUAUUGAUGAUGUACUUUGUUCGGCAUUAUUCAAGUAUAUCCAAGCUGUCACUGAAAUCUUAAUUACUUGUCUUUUUGGGUGCAACCUUGCUCUAGAUUUGAUUUUGCUGACACAGAAAAUAAAUCACUAUUAAACUUGUGGACCAAAACAAUUUAUGAAAACAUAUCUGAGCAUUUAUGCAUGUCAAACAACUUUUAAGAAGCAUAACAACAUAAUGGCGUGCUGCAACAAAUGAAUUAUGAGUAUAUCAAAGCAUACAAUUUUCUUUUAUAAAACGUCAACUUUAGUUAUUUUACUACACUGCUAAAGCAUUUAGUCAAGGGUAUAUGUAUGCACACGUAACUGUGAAACCAAAAUUUUUCAUAAAGGUUAGGAUUUAAUUUGCUCGUGACUAAGGAUAUUUCUGGAGACAUUGCACUCAUAAUGAUGAGUUAUAAAGUAACAUCAAAUUAUUAUAUCUUUAAUCAAUAGUCUAAACCCUAUUUUCUAUAUUACAUGUACAGCGAGAAAUAUAAUCUUGUAACCAUUUAAUUAAGGAUUAAACGCAAUAACUUAUAAGUCAUCAACGACAACUAACCCUAACAGGGUUACACCCGCUCAAAAAUAAGUGAUAUUUGGUUUUUUUUUGCGAUUCUAAUCUAUACUUUGUAAAAGUGAUGAUUAAGCAAAAACUUUAAUGAUAAUCGAUCUUGGAUCCUAAUAAUUGUAUGUAUUGCAUGGGGAAUACCUAGGAGAGAAUUAAUAAAACCUAAAACGAGUAUUGUUUUUACUAACUGAACACUUAUUAUCCACUUUUAUUUUCUAAAAACGUAUACAAUAUAAUAAAUUUCUAAUUAGUAACUGCAGUGAAAGAAACAAUUGAAACCCUAUCUAUGUAAUGAAAGAUAUGACAAACAUAUGAGCAUUUUUUUUUAGAUUUUGUAAAGUCAAUGGUAAGGUGUUGAUCUUAUUUGGUUUUAUUUAUGUUUUAUGGAACUUAAAAGAAGUUUGCUUUUUAUGGCCUAUAGAUAUUAAUAUAACUAAAAAUGCAACAUAACUCAGCUAAUUGAUUUUCUUCAUCAUUUUAUUUGAAUUCUUCGUCAUUCUUUCUAUUAUAAAAAUAUGUACAUAUUUUUUCGAAUUCUUAAAAGAAUUUUCUAAACCAUGGACUGCAAUAUCAGCUCCAAUGCAACACUAUAUCGCAAAUUCACCUGUAUCUAAAGCUUAUUAAUUUGCUAGUUUUCUAGCUGUUAAAUACUAUCAGAAGGUUAUAAUAUGUCAAACUCCAUCCAAUUAAAAGCUUUGUAGUCCAUGAAUCAUCAGUUUUCAAUGCAUCCUAAUCCAUAGUUUGGUCUUCAUACUUUAAUAGUUAUUCUAACUUGUUGAAUAAAAUAUAUAGCGAAUAAGUUUGCUCAAAUCUGCAAGUGACUAUUUAGGGAUCAGUUAGAUGAUCUAAAAUUUUUUUUGAAACAAAAAUGUGUUACAAAUAUGAUUAUUUCAAUUGAAUGUUCGAAAUACCAAAAAAAAAAAAAUUUUUGAAUCAACACUCUUGCCCAAAAACUCAUGAGGCAUAAACUUUAAUUACAUCCACUAGAACAAAGAGGAUCCAUAUUUGAAAACAAUUUCUUUUAGUAAUAAAUAGCUUCAAAGGAAACUAUAUGCCUUGACUAGAGUAUUAAUAUAUAACUCACUUCAAAUUACAAUGACAAGGGAAUUAGACCUUUCACACAACUCAAUGAAUCACUUGGUCCGAGCAGAGCAGUAGAUGCCAUGCCAUGCCAUGCAGAUGUCUAGAUUUCUUUGUGCACUAAUUGUGCUUUAAUCCUUUCAAUUAGUAUUUUUUUGCCAUUUAUCUAUAUAUUAUUUUACUUAGGAAUAGUAGCCAGAAAUUAAAAAUUUCCAAGAGAACAAUUUCAUCGGUGAUAGAUUUUACGGACUGCAAAAGUUAGGCUGAACUUUUCCGCUCAAAAGAGCAGACCUCAAUUUUGAUAGGCCCAAGUUUCUUACCCAGGACAAUUCCAUUUCUAUAGAGUAUAAAGCCCAACCCAAAAUAAAAAAGUCCGUCUUGUCAUUGAGCCCGCGAAUUAAUCCAAAUCUGGAACUCCUGAGUCCUGAGCCUUAGUAUUCAUCUGAGACUGAGAAGGACGAAAUUGUCAAUAAACGAAAGAUUAUCCUAUUUUUGUAAAUUGAUGUUCUACUUCUUCCCCAGAACCCUCGCCCUAUAUAUUGUGGCUGCCCAAGCUUCAACCUCUCUCCCUUGUAGCAGUAACCUUUUGUCUGGAGCGAUCCGAGAGCUAGGCUUGUCCUCAUCAUCAUCAUGUUGGUCUAUCAGGAUUUAGUCACCGGUACACACACUUUUGACUUUUGUUUUUCUGGUUUUACGAAUGAAUUUGUAGUUCUAUAGAUGUGUGAUCUGAUUGAGUUGCUUUUGCUUUCUGGGCUUGGUUUUUAGUUAUGUAUAACGGGUUUUCGAUAGGGUUUUUGCAAGGUUAAUUUCUAGAUCUGUGUUAGAUUGAAUCUGUAGUUUGCUCUGUGGUGGCCUUUAGUUUUUGAGGGGUUUGAUGGUUAAUUGGAUUCUGAAUUGUUGUUACCAAUGGUUUAAUUUUUCUUUGUUUUUGCUCUUACUGAUUGUUUGUGAUUUGAUUCCUAUUAAAAAUCAAGUCUUUUUUAAAUUUCCGUGUUAAAGAUUAAGUCUCUUUCGCAUGCGCUCGGGAAUUGGAUGAUUACAUUUUCAGAACUUAUGUUUUGGUGCAAAAGGUCAGCGGAAUUGUUUGGUUGUCGCAGUUUUUAGGUGGAUAUACACGUGUUGUUACUAUUGAGAGUGGAUAUCUACCCGGUUUUUGACAUCCUCCCCCCCCCCCCCAAAACACCAGUUGCUCUUUCUGCCUAUGAACAUUUUGGAAUGGGUUGGAGAAGGCUGAUUCUGAUUUGUAACUUGGAUCGGAAGUCUGUGUGAAAUUUCUUUUGUUAUUGCAUUGAUAGAGUGGGACUAAACUUUCUCUUGGAUAUAAAAAGAGAUUUAAAAGAAGGAUUGUGCUCAUUUAAUUAAUCCGAUUUUGUACUAUUAGCUACUGCUGAUUAAUGUCCCCUGCUACUUUCUCUUACACCGGCUUUUAAGAGUAUGUUUUGAUUUGUUUUGGUGAAUCUCGUGUUUAACUCUCUUCUCGAUUCACUUCUAUGAUUGUGUAGGUGAUGAGCUUCUCUCGGACUCGUUUCCAUACAAGGAAAUUGAGAACGGGAUCCUCUGGGAAGUUGAGGGAAAGGUGAAAAUUGUUCUCUUUUCUGUUUAACUUGCUUAAUUUUGGAAAAGAUCUGAAUUUCUAUUAUGAUGAUCAUUACUUGUGCAAGCAUUAUGACUUGUCUAUUGUUCGUAUGUUGGCAACCAAUGAGUUUCUUAUUCCAGCAUCUUUUUACCUUACAUAAGAGUAUAAAUGAUUAAGAGUUUUGUAAAGUCUGAUUUGCUGCAAAUUUGUAAAUUCCAGUGGGUUGUCCAAGGAGCUGUUGAAGUAGACAUUGGUGCAAACCCUUCUGCCGAAGGUUGUGGAGAGGAUGAGGGUGUUGAUGACCAGGCUGUGAAGGUGGUGGACAUUGUUGACACAUUUAGGCUCCAGGUUUUUGUCUGAUUUUACUAUUUGGAUGAGGUUGACUAUUGCGUUUAGGGAAUAUGAAGCUAAUUUAUUACCUUGCAGGAGCAACCUCCUUUUGACAAGAAGCAAUUUGUUGCAUACAUAAAGAAGUAUAUCAAGUUGUUGACGCCAAAGAUAGAUGCAGAGAAGCAAGAGCAUUUUAAGAAGAAUAUUGAGGGCGCAACCAAGUACUUGCUCUCAAAGCUCGGUGACCUCCAAUUGUGAGUGCAACCUCCUUUAAUGCCCCCUCGUUCACUUUUCUUUCUUUUUUUUUUAUUUUUCUGCUUGUAAUUCUUUGGAAGUAUUUGAUUGUUUGAGCACACUGCAAAUUAGAGUUUUUAUACUAAAUGGUCAAGGUUCACUCAUGUUGACAGUUUUGUGGGGGAGAGCAUGGCCGAUGACAGUACCUUGGUGUUUGCUUACUACAAAGAUGGUGCCAUCGAUCCGAC
This 76678-nucleotide long non-coding RNA is filed under the name Coffea arabica (coffee). RNAcentral's name for it is "long non-coding RNA (CARA_LNC002072)". The record is from RNAcentral. Lineage: Eukaryota; Viridiplantae; Streptophyta; Magnoliopsida; Gentianales; Rubiaceae.